RNAcentral lists this long non-coding RNA (82193 nucleotides) under Vitis vinifera (wine grape). RNAcentral's name for it is "long non-coding RNA (VVIN_LNC002797)". The stretch from base 24296 to 24389 matches the Rfam family "Small nucleolar RNA Z122". The record is from RNAcentral. Lineage: Eukaryota; Viridiplantae; Streptophyta; Magnoliopsida; Vitales; Vitaceae.
AUGUAAAAAGGGGAGAUGGAUCUAAUUGGACAAUAAAUGAUGUAAACCAACUCCUCUAUUCUGCUUGAUUCAUCAUCCCAAAGCUCUCCACACUCAUCAUUUCCCUCAAAAGUAGCUGGUUCUUAAUCCUCAUUGACAAAACCAUGGGCAACAUUUGCUCCAUUUCACUCCCCGUUGACCGCAUUGUCUCUAGCUUCUGGGAUGGCACUACUGAGCAUGCAAAUUACCUGCGCAAACUCCCUGAAAAUCUGGUAGAAUUGGGAACCGCUUGUGAAAGAUUGAGGGAGUUAAGGAACGAUGUGAAGAAGAAGGUGGAUAUUGCUGAGAGGGAACAAAUGCAGCCGCUGGACCAAGUACAAGGGUGGCUUUCAAGGGUUGAAACUCUGGAAACUCAAGUCACUCAACUGAUUGGAGAUGGCACCGAGGAGGUUGACAAGAAAUGUCUCGAUGGUUCCUGUCCUAGGCAUUGUAGGACCAGAUACAAGUUGGGGAAGAGAGUAGCUAGAAAGUUGAAAGAAGUGGACAUUCUAAUGAGCCAAAGACCUUCGGAUGUGGUGGCUGAGAGGUUACCUUCACCUCGCCUAGGUGAAAGGCCUAGUGAAGCAACCGUCGGCAUGAAUUCCAGAAUUGGUAAGGUUUGGAGCAGCCUUCAUCAAGAACAAGUGGGAAUUAUCGGCCUAUAUGGAUUAGGAGGAGUUGGGAAAACCACCCUCUUAACCCAAAUCAAUAAUGCUUUUACUAAAAGAACCCAUGAUUUUGAUUUUGUGAUCUGGGCAACAGUUUCCAAAAAUGUAAACCUUGAAAACAUUCAGGACGACAUCUGGAAGAAGAUAGGGUUUUGUGAUGAUAAAUGGAAAAACAAAAGUCGAGAUGAGAAAGCUACGAGCAUAUGGAGAGUCCUGAGCGAAAAGAGGUUUGUGCUGUUGCUAGAUGAUUUAUGGGAGUGGUUGGAUUUAUCAGACGUCGGGGUCCCAUUCCAAAAUAAGAAAAAUAAGAUAGUAUUCACCACUCGAUCAGAAGAGGUGUGCGCUCAAAUGGAAGCUGAUAAGAAGAUCAAAGUGGAAUGCCUAACAUGGACAGAAUCCUGGGAAUUGUUACGAAUGAAGCUUGGAGAAGACACUCUCGAUUUCCAUCCUGAUAUACCAGAACUCGCUCAAGCCGUUGCACAAGAGUGUUGCGGUUUGCCACUUGUGCUAACUACCAUGGGCAGGGCCAUGGCUUGUAAGAAGACACCGGAGGAAUGGAAGUAUGCAAUAAAAGUGUUACAAAGCUCUGCCUCAAAAUUUCCAGGUAUGGGGAACAAAGUGUUUCCUCUUUUAAAAUACAGUUAUGAUUGCUUACCCAUCGAAGUUUCCAGAUCUUGCUUCUUGUAUUGUUCUCUAUAUCCGGAAGAUUAUAAGAUGUCAAAAUCAAGUUUGAUAAACCGUUGGAUUUGUGAAGGCUUUUUAGAUGAAUUUGAUGACAGGGAAGGAGCAAAAAACCAGGGUUACAACAUUAUUGGCACUCUGAUUCAUGCAUGUCUAUUAGAAGAAGCUGAUGUUGAUUAUCGAGUAAAACUGCAUGAUGUAAUACGUGAUAUGGCAUUGUGGAUAGCUUGUGAAACUGGGAAGGAGCAGGACAAGUUCUUGGUGAAGGCCGACAGUACGUUAACUGAAGCUCCUGAAGUUGCUAGAUGGAUGGGGCCAAAAAGGAUUUCACUGAUGAAUUACCAUAUUGAGAAACUAACAGGGUCUCCCGAUUGCCCCAAUCUCUUAACUUUGUUUCUUCGGAAUAAUAAUUUGAAGAUGAUCUCUGAUAGUUUCUUCCAGUUUAUGCCAAAUCUAAGAGUUUUAGACUUGUCAAGGAAUACUAUGACUGAAUUACCACAGGGAAUCUCUAAUUUGGUUUCAUUACAGUAUCUCAGCCUAUCAAAAACCAACAUAAAAGAGUUGCCAAUUGAGUUGAAGAACCUGGGUAACUUGAAAUAUGAAAAUUCAUGCCAAUGAUUAUGAUUUUAGGUUAUUUAUUAUUAAGUAUGAUUUGAACUUAUGUCUUGGUUAAAAUGUAUAAUUUUUUAAUUAUAUGAAAGAAAAAUAGGUAAUGGUUGUAAUAAUUUAUUUAGUUAGAAUUUCUUUCAUUUAGACUUUAGGAUGCAUUUGAGUUUUAUUUGUUUAAAUUAUCAAGGAAACAUGUGAAUAACAUAACAUCACUAAUUUGAUUUAACACUUUAUAUAACCUUAAAUGUAUAAACCAAAGUAUAAUAGUUCUACAAACAUGAAAAAAGAUCUCAAUGUGUCCCACAUGAUGGAAUCUUUCUCUUUCGUUGUGAACAUCUACGGUAGAUGGCCAUAUUUGUUGUAUCCAUCUGUGCUAUUUGAAAAGUCUCCAUCUCUAUAGACUGUGACACGUCAUCUACAUGAGCUGUCGAGAUAGAUGGAACUGAUGGAGGUAGAACUCGACGUACACGUGGAGCUCGAUGUCCUCUAGCUACCCGUACAUGUAAUCGUGCAGCAUGAGCUAUCCCCUGAAGAAAAGGUAGAGGUGCAAUGGACUCUGUAACAGGUGGAGGUGCAAUAGACUCUGUAACAGGUGGGGGUGCAAUAGACUCUGCAAUAGGUGGGGGUGCAUCCAAUGAUAUAGAUGGCUGAACAGGGGUAAGGGUAGAUGGUAUGGUAGUCUCGGGUCGAGGUGAAUAGGCUGGUAUGGAUACAUCAGGGGGAGAAAGUGGCGACUCUAAUGAUGCAGAUGGUUGAAAUAAAGGAAAGGUAGAUGUGACUGGUGGAUGUGAGGGUUGUACCAAAGUAGAUGCCAAAGGUACAUGUCGGUGACCAACUCGACGACCACCUCUCCCCCGACCUCUAAUGGGUGGUACCCUAACAGGCGUAAUCAAUGAUUGUGGUCUCAUGGAUGACCCUGAAGAUGUGGAUGGCUCAUGUGUCGAGUGUGCGCGAUGGUCCUCUCCUAUAACACGUAAAACAUCAAUAGCAAUUCGGUGAGUUUCCUCCAAAUCAUUUGAAAUAGCCAUCUGUGAUACGGCGGUGAUCUGUAUAAAAAAAUAAAACAUGAGGCAUUUGCACAUAAUUUAAGUUUAACAUUCAUUAAAAAAUGGUUUUGUAUCUCAAAUGCUCUCACCAAUAACUCAGUGGCAGAAGCUGUAUUAUGGAACCUCAUAUGAUCUCUAUGCAAAACAGGUGCGAUCAGGCGUCGCGUGAUACGUCGAUACCACUGCAUAUAUGGAUCAUAAAAAGACAUGGUAGUAAUCGCAAGUGGUGCUGUCGCAAUACGCUCAGAAUGAGUAGCCCAAAGAGAAAUAUACUGAGCAUGGAAUGUGACCCAAUCGUACUGAUGUCGUCCUCGCCUAUCCACUAAAUGUAGCUCCAUAUCUAUCAAACAAGGUGGAGGUAUCCCUUGUUGCAUAUGAAACUGGCGUAAAACUCGCUCUGGUCUAUGCCACUCAAUAAUAUCAAAGCAAAUUAGAGGUGACAUAGUUCGCCAAAUUUCUUCAUCAGCCUGACAUAUAGUCGGAAGAUGUGCAAUCAAAUUUGCUGUAUAUGGUUCCCAUAAUACCUGUAAUUUUUUUAAAAAAUAAUUAGUCACAUUGGUGGAAAAUAUUGCAAAGGUAAUCUUACGCAUCUACACUUUACCUGAUCCUGUGUCUGGGCAUCCAAUUGAUCUCGAUAGAAUGUCAACACAUGUGGUGAUGGGUUAUGAGACCAAGACAGGGGUACUCUCCACCUAUGGCCCAAUGGAUCGAUUGGGAGUGCCUCAUCUGGCAAUAGAUGAUCAUGUAAACCAUCAACUACAUCAUCAUGUACAUGUGGGACUACUAUAGGCACUGGAGGACGACCAAAAUCAGGUCGACCCACAUGAAGUCUCUCCCAUGACCACAACUACAAAAUCAGAUAACAUUAUCAAAAUUAGACAACUUACAACAAUAAUGUGAGUCAAUUAAUUAUAAUAGAUAGUUAUGUCGAAAUACCUGUAAUAGUGUGAUAGGUCCAGAAAUCUCUGUGGCACUAUCUAAACUCGCACGACAUAGCUCUCUAUAUAGGUAUGCCAACACUGCACUGCCCCAACUAUAGUGAGAAAUCUCAGUGAAGUCUCUCAACAGUGGAAGGUAACAUAACUGUACAUGUGUGCCAGUCUUGUCUGCAAACAAUGCUCCACCCAAUAGUGCUAAUAUGAAAGCACACGCAUAACGCUGUAAAAUAGGGCAUUCUCCAAAAUACAAACAACCUGAUUAAUCAAAAUAUUUAUUUGCAACCAAUAUCAAUAUCCAACAAGUACAAUAAUUUUAAAAAAAUUAUCAAACACUAAAGUUCACAUCCAAAUAUUAAAAAUUUCGGUAGAGUAUCCCCUAUAAAUAGGGCAUUCUCCAAAAUACAAACAACCUGAUUAAUCAAAAUAUUUAUUUGCAACCAAUAUCAAUAUCCAACAAGUACAAUAAUUUAAAAAAAAUUAUCAAACACUAAAGUUCACAUCCAAAUAUUAAAAAUUUCGGCAGAGUAUCCCCUAUAAAUAGGGCAUUCUCCAAAAUACAAACAACCUGAUUAAUCAAAAUAUUUAUUUGCAACCAAUAUCAAUAUUCAACAAGUACAAUAAUUUAAAAAAAAUUAUCAAACACUAAAGUUCACAUCCAAAUAUUAAAAAUUUCGGCAAAGUAUCCCCUAUAAAUAGGGCAUUCUCCAAAAUACAAACAACCUGAUUAAUCAAAAUAUUUAUUUGCAACCAAUAUCAAUAUCCAACAAGUACAAUAAUUUAAAAAAAAUUAUCAAACACUAAAGUUCACAUCCAAAUAUUAAAAAUUUCGGCAGAGUAUCCCCUAUAAAUAGGGUAUUCUCCAAAAUACAAAUAACCUGAUUAAUCAAAAUAUUCAUCUACAACCAAUAUCAAUAUGCAAGUACAAUAAUGAAAAAAAAUGUAAUAAUAUGAUGUUCGCAUCCAAAUAUUAAAAAUUUCAAUAGAGUUUCCCCUAUAAAUAGGGUAUUCUCCAAAAUACAAACAACCUGAUUCAUCAAAAUAUUCAUAUUACAAUUUUGAAAUUAACAGCAAAGUCUCUCUUAUAACAUAAGUAUUGUCCAAAAUACAAAUAACAUAAUAUCAACAUCCAAAGCCUAGCACCCAUCAUGAAGGCCCAGCACCCAUGUUCUUAUUUGGACAAGAACGACGAUUGUGACCACUUUGUUUGCACAAACCACAUGUAAUUGAGGUUUUACCUUCUCUAACAUCCAUUUCAUUGUGCAAACGAGUAGAUUUAGGUCGUCCACCUGACACACGUUUCAUUGAAUCUGCAGGCACAAUAACUGGACCAACAUAUGGUGGCCACUCGUACUCAUUGUGUAUCGGGUUAAACAGUGGUGCCCAAGUGCUAAAGUACGAUUGUAUAGUGUAAUAAUGUUGAACAAAUGAUCUAAAAUCAAUUGAAUGAAAAUGACAUGCCGCUAGAAUAUGACUACAUGGGAAUCCAUAUAUGAGUGUUUUGCCACAUGUGCAUACAUGCUCACGUAGGUUAACACGAUGUGUUCUUCCACCAGAUGAUGUCUUUUUACUACCCCUACUGGCCUUCACAUGAAACAGUCCUUGGAAGUGAUCAUACAAAACAACCUCAUGAGAACCUGCCUUAACAACAUUUGCAUUAAUCUUAGCAUCAACAUAAGGAGUGUAUUGUUCACCUGAAGCAAGUCGACUAGCACCAUGUUCUCUUCUUACAGCAAAGUAACUAUUAACUCGAUAGAAUGUCAAUUGAACAAAUGCAGUGAUAGGGAAACUUCGUGCCCCUUUGAGCACACUAUUGAACACUUCUGACAUGUUCAUGCAAGGAUUGACACAUGUGUGUGGGCCACUAUAUUUGUUGAUCUCAAAUAAAGAUGUCCCUUUAACAACUGUAGCACGUAGUCUCCAAGCACAUUGAGACUGUUCAGCUUUCUUGCAUCUUAGGACCAACAAUUUCUUUGUGGAUGACAAAACGAUAUACUCUUGGUGCGAAUUAAUAGAGUACAUCUUUACAUCAUGUUGCAAAUCUCCUUUGGAAUUAAAGAUUUGUCCAACUAUGAACUCUCCAGUUGGAUGUCCCAUAAGAGUGUUUCCCCAUGGGGUCCAUUCACUUGACACAACAUGACCAAUGUUUUCAACAUUUUCAAACUGUGGUGAUGGUGCCAAAUGAUAUUGCAUUGGAGAUAAUUCAAUUGGGUCAUCUAAAUCCUCUGUAUCUGGAUUGUUUGACAAGUUACAUCCUUCCCCAUCCACAGCCACAUAUCUCAUUUGUUCUCUUUCAAUUGCCUCACGAACAGCUAAAAAAGGCGAGCUACCUUCCCUAUCUUGAUUAUCAUCAUUAUGAAUAUCCUUGGCUCCUACACUGUCAUCAUCACAUUGUGUUCUUUCUUCGUCUUCCUCAUCCUCUUCUGAUCUAUGCUCAACAGUAAAUGGAUUUUGAACAUUACUAGUACCAUCAUUUUCACCAAGUAACAAAGGCAUGCAAUUACCAAGUGAUGAAUUCAUUUGUAAGUCAAUAGGUACUUGUUCAACAAAUAACUCAACUUCAUCCAUCCCAAAUCUGUUAUGCAUUUCUAACAUUCGAGCUACACCACUAUCAUUCUUUACUGGGCAAGGUUGGAAUUUGUUCAAUUUUUUCAUAGGAUACUUACAACUAAGUAUUAAUCGAAAAUGUUCUUUAUUGAUGUCAGUGACCGAGUAUAUCAUUUCCAACAGUUGUUCAUAUGUUGUCCCAAGAGGCACAUCAAUAGGUUCAACCACAACUCUAUCCCCAACAUAAUCAACAUCGGUCUGUGUUCUCACCAUUUUCCCAUUACAAAAACAAACUAUUGCCACCGAUAAAUUAGACAUAGUUUACCUAUAGAAGAAGCCAAAAAAAUCAAAUUAAUUUCAUUUUUAACCACAAAAUUACACAAUAUAAAACAUUACUAAAACAUCAAUUUGUAAUGAAAUAACAAAUAACAAUAAUAGGGUAUGUUAUUAACAAUAAUCAAAUAACAAAUAACACCUUAAUAUCCAAAUAAUUCAAUGUUUUUUAUUAAUAAUAUUUUCUUAUUAUUUAUUACCAUUAAAAUUGAAUAAAAGGUUGUUAUUUUUCCAUUAACAAUUAAAAUGUCUUUGUUUAAGCUACCCAAAUUAAGUGGGAAAUUUUUUUAAAUUUGUUCAAGAAUGGAUGUAAUGUGUACAUAUUCAACAUAAUUAAUAGUUACGACUAUAAAUGUUUUAAUAUUUUCCACUUAAAUAAUUGAAAAAGAGAAAGCGGAAUAGUUAAUACACUUUUGCUUAUGUCUGGUUAAUUUUUAAAUUUUUUUAAUUUAAUUAAAUUUCUACAAUUUAUAAUUUAAUAAGUUCAAUUUGAAGUAAAAACUAAUAUUUUCUAUAUAUUAAAUUUGGUUUUAGUGUUUUUUUAUUAUUUAUAACUAUUGAGUUCUUCAAAUAUUUUAUAAUCUUUAGGAGUCUAUCUCGAUCUUACAGAUUUUUCCCUCUAUGGCCUAAAAUAUUUAUAAAAAUAUUCUAAAUAACUUUCCUUAUUCUAUGAGGAAAUAUGAUAUCACAAUAAUAAAUUAACUUAGAAAAUACUUUAUACAAUAUUCUUUACCAAAAGGAAUUUAUAAUAAUUGAGAAUUUGAUACAUUUUCUAAUAUAUGAUACAAUUCAAAAGCUAACCAAUAAUUACAAGCAAUUUUCAUGGUUUGGAGAUCCAGCCUAGGUUCUACAUGUCUUUUUACAGUUUUAUAAAGUUGUUAGCAUUUGUAUAAGUGCUAUUAAAUGUUCCACAUGCCAUUAAAUAAUCCGAGUUCUAGGAACCCUAGAGUUUGGUCAUGAUUCGAGUUCUAGGAGCCCUAUAAUGGGGAAGAGAUUGUUAUAUGCGCAAUAGUAUUAUCUUUAUAAAAAUGAUGAUUGAAAAAUGACACACUCAAAUCUCCUUCAUCCUAAUAAAAUUUUAAAAUAUAUAUAUAUAUAUAUAUAUAUAUAUAUAUAAUAAAAAGUAUAUAUUUUUUUAGAGGAGAAAAAGAAACAAAAAUAAAUUUAAUAAUCACUUCCAAUUUUAUAAAGUUAAUAAAUUAUGAAAACAAAUUUAAAAAUAAUUUGAAAAACUUAAGCAUUUGUAAUGAUGGUUUCUCGAUAAAUCUAGUAAUUAUAAUAAAUAAGAAGAUAAAAUAUUUAUUAGGAAGUGUAGAGGCUUUCACUUUUCUUUUUCUGUAACUUUUUGAAGUUGCUUCCAUAUGUCUUAUGUCAAGAAGAUUCCCAUAAAUAUGUAUUAAACCUGGAAGAAGCAGAUUCUUACAAAAAAAAUAAUGAGUCAUUUUCCCCAAUUUUUUACUUUAAUGCAUAGGUGUCUUACAAAAUCCACAAAACAAAGCUUUUUGAAUUUUUGGCUAUAAAUUUUAGUUCCAGCUUCUCACUAGGCAAAUAUUAAUAUUUGUUGUUCAUAUGUAUUGUUGUACGUGUAUCAUUGUAUUGUGCAUUAUAUUUGUACCAUAAAAUACACUUCAGAUGAGAUACAACCAAGCAAUAAAUAAGAUUUACAUCAGGAAAAUGAAUUAUAUCAUUGUAUUGUAAGUUUUCUAACAAACAUGCUUACAACCACUAAGGUACUUUUAGAAAUAGUUGAUGGAUAAGAUCAAGCAAGCUACUGCCUCAUAACCAGCAAUAGCAGGCCCAUGUUUGUGAGGAAUUGAAGCUUCUAUCCGGGAGUGAGUAAUUGUAAGACUGUUGAAAUUUUACCAGUAGUAAUGGUUGAGAAAGUUGAACAUGUAAAAUAUGCCACAAAAAAUAUGAAAAAUUAGCACUAAUGUGAAGAGCGUACUUUGAUCAGUGUAAAGCAAAGAUCAAUACAUUAAGCUCUACAUUAAGCAGGAGUGUAUUUCCAUUCCAUAUUGGGAUUUCAUAGGUUUCCCCUAAGCACCCUGCUAAAGGCCAUAUGUAAUUUCAAACCCUUCAACUUUCAGUCAGUAAACUCUCAUUUUUGACAGAGGCCCAAUUAUUGAAACUUUUGUAUUUUUAAGUAAUUGAAAUCAAUUGAGAGGUAAUGACAAUUCAUUUAUACUUUUUAUCCCUAUUUACAAAUGUGAUCCAUGUUUCAAACAUAAUAUAACGAAAGAAAAAGAAUAAAUCAAAAUAACCAAUAUAGGAUCAUAUAAAUUAAAUUUCAUGAUAUAUAUCGAUGUCAAUAUGUAUAUAUAUAAACAAAUUAAUAUAAAGUGUUUUUUUACGGAAGGCCAAUUAUUGAAGCUUUUGUAUUUUUAACAAUUGAUAUCAAUAAAGGGGUAUCAAUAAUUCACCGGCAUUUUCUAUCAUUUUUUAUAGAUGUGAUAUAUAUAUAUAUAUAUAUAUAUAUAUAUAUAUAUAUAUCUUGAACACGGUGUAAAAAAUGAAAAUGAAGAAUUCAAAAUACUCGUAUGCGAUAACAUAAAUUUAAUUUCAUGAUAUAUAUGAUAUAAUAUCAAUAUAUAUGCUUUUAUUGUUGAAUAAUGCUAUAUCAUAUUUAAAAUAUUUAAAAAAAUACAAUUUAAUAUACCCAUUAUUAGAUAAUUUAUUAGAAUUUCAUACAAAAUCAUCACAAAAUUUUAUUUUCUCACUCCUAAAAUUUAUUUUGUAAAAUCCAAUAACGAAUAUUUCAUAAAUUUCAAAUACUUUGAUCAUUUAUAUAUAUAUAUAUAUAUAUAUAUAUAUAUAUAUAUAUAUAUAUAUAUAGACACAUAUAAUAAGUGUAUAUGAAUCCUCUAUAGAAAAAAUCAUAUCCAAUGUUUAUAUCUUAGCAAAUAUGGUGUCCAAUUUAACAAAGAGAGUCAACGCAAUAUGAGGGAACAAAAGAAAAAUAGAAAGAAAUAAAAAGGGUUUGACCAUUUGGUGGUGUGAACUUUGAAGAGAAUUUUGAGAAAAAUUUUAAUUAAAAAAGCCGGGAAGGAGGAGGGGGUGAAAAUCGGAGCCAGCCCGCUCACUAUUUUGGCAUGAAAUUUUGAACCCCACCAAUUCAGCCCGCCCUUAACAAAUUUGGCUCAAAUUCUACACCCGAUUCACGCGCCCACGUACCCCACUCUCUCUCUUUCUCUGUCUGUCUCUCUCUUAGACAUUCACCCUUCAGAUCCCUUUCGAAACCCCAAUUCUGCUAAGGUAUAAACCUUAACCUCUCCAAGUCUCUCUCUCUCCCCCACCUUCAUCCAAUCCGAAAUCCAUAUUUUGGAUCACAAUGAAGAUGAAUCAUGGGCAGAUCGACAACUAUCAGGAUUCCGAGAUGAGAGGAAAAUGAGGCAAAGGUUAGGGUUUUUCGGGUUCUAGGAUAAGAGGAAUACAAGGUGGAGGAAAGGGUUUUUCAAGUUUUUUGGAUAGCUAUGAAAUUGAAAACAACUUGAGAUUUUUAAAAUUUUCAAAACAACUUGUUUUCCUCUGUUUGGUUGGUGAGAAAGCUAAGGAAAAUGAGUGGGAAAAAAUUAAUGAACCCGAAAAAAAUUUACCUAGCUGCUGGUGGAGCUGCUGGUGGGAGCCACUGGUGGGAGCCGCAGCCGGUGAGGAGAGAAAAUGGAGCCGCAGAUGGUGGAGCCGCAGAUGGUGGAGAAUACUUUCUGGUUGAUUUCGGGAAAAAAUUGGGUCUCCAAAGUAAAAAAACAAGUUUGACGAAGAUGACUUGUUGACGUGGAUGGCUGAUGUGGAUUCAAAAGAGUAUUUUGGCAAAUAGUUUGAAAACUGGAUUAGUUUGGGGUUUUUUUUUCCAAAGAAAUACUACUUCGGCGGGAAACUCCUUAGCUUGUCCUAGGCGGGCCUUUAAAUGGAGCUUCGGCCAAAGCUGGAAAACUAAAAAUACAAUAAUUUUUAAAAAUUGAUUAGAAAGAGUGACAUUUGACCAUAUUUUUUUAUAUUCUUUUUAAAAAAUUUAUUUUUAAGUCAAAGAUAAAAAAUAAUUGUUUUAAUAUUUUCUCAAAAUAAGGGUAUUUCCGAAUUUGACAAGUUUCUUUUUAGAAGUUUUUCAAAAAAUAAAAAACCAAAAACUUGUUUGAAUAAUUUUUUUCCAAACAAAAUACUAUCAAAAUAAUUUUUUUACUUUAUAUCUAAAUACUAAGGUAAGUUUUGGUUAUAGUUCCUAUUUAUACAAAAUAUAAGAACUCCAGCACAUAAAGCAAAAAAAUUAUCUAGCUUGUAUAUAAAAAAAUUUUAAUCCUUAAAUUUUAAGAAUUUUAAAAAAUGUUUUCAAGUAUAUAAAAUAUAUAAUCACUUUUGUAUAAGAAUUUCUAUAUUCUAUUCUAUUUUAGAAGCAAAGAUGGAAAAUGUAUCCAAAUAUAUACUAAGUAAUUUUCUUUAAAAAUGUUUCUAAUGAAAGGGUUCUAACAAAAGAGGUGCAAAUAAAAAUACUUUAAACAAAAUCCCUCUCAAGCAAGUUCUAAGUUAUAAUAAAUAUUUUUCUUUAAUAUUUCUAAUCAUAAUAUUUUUCUUCAAUAUUCCUAAUCAUCAAAAGAAAUAUGGGACUGCAAACAUUAAGGAAGAAACUUCAAAAUGAUUUUAGUUUAAAUUUAUUUCAUUUGCAAUCUUGCAAUCUCAUGCCCCAAAUGUUCCCAUUCAUCAAUUUUUGGUAAAAUUUUAUUAAAAUUACUAAUUAUUAAAAAAAAUUAAAUUUUAAACAUUUUUUAAAAAUCAUAUCCAUUUAAUCACAACAAAAUAAAAUUUUCUUGUUAUCAUUAUAAAGUAACUCCAAGAGAGAAAAUAAUUGGUUUCCAAAAAUAAAAAGAAAAAAAAAACUUUGAAAAUUUUCAAAUAUUCCAAAAUUUCUAAAAAAAAAUCCAAAAUCCAAGUUUUGUGAUCCCAAAAGAUGGAAAUACUUUACAAGUUAUCGACAAUUUCAAAUUUUCAAUUGGAGUUGUAAUAAAAUUUAAUUUAAUUGCAAAUCACCAUUUCAAUUAAUCUCAUUUCUUGAUAAUCCAAAUAGCAGCUAAUAUAAGAAGAAUGUUGAAUAAGGAACAACUCAUCUCUCUCUAUCAAAAAUGUCUUCAAGAUUUUAAUGCAUUCACAUAACUUUUUCAACUUGAAUACCAUUUCAUACCUAAUAAUAGAGACCAAAAUUUUGAUGCAUUCACAUAUCCUUUUCAACUUGAGUACUAUUGUCCCCCUAAUAAUAAAGGUCAUUUUCUAAAAGUUUUCUCACUUCUUUUACAACCAUUAGUUCUUCAUACAUUUCAACCUAGGAUAAGGUAUAUUCUUCUUAAUAAUACUUGUGUUAAUAAUGAGAAGGUAUUCAAUACAUAUAUUCUACCACAUUAGUAUGUUAAUAUAGUAUAAAUCUUCAUUCAUAUUUAUCAAAUCAAAACUUAAAAAGGAGGGGAAAAAAGUUAUUUGGAUUUGAAAAUAAUUAAUAAAAGCUUUAAAUUAUUGGGAAAGUGAAUUAUAAAAAUUAUUUUUUAAUAAAAUAACUUAAUUAUCACUUUAUUUAUUUUCUAUUAAUUUAUUCUCAAUAAUAUCCAAAAUAUAAAUAAAUUAUUAUAUCACAUUAGUAAGCAUUAUAAUACCACAUCAAUGAGCUUAGAACAACAAAGAUAUCCAAUAUAUUCUCAUUAAUCAUCAAGUAAAAAAAAAAGAGAAAGGAAGAAAAGGGAGGAAGAGAAUAAGUAAAAUAAGGAUUUUUGUUAAAGAAGACUUGAGAGGAAUGGUACAAUAAUUUUUUUUUUGUUCAUUUAUUUUUAUUUUUACUUAUUUAUUCAUUUUUAUAUUUUAUAUUAUAAUUAAAUCAGAGAAUGUGAUGAGUUGUAUGGUUUGGUUUAUGUAAACGAGAUUAGACAUGUAUAAUUUAGAUAAUUAUUUCUUGUACCAUAAAUUUUUUAAAUCCAAAUAUGGUUCCUUUAUUUUAUUGAUAUAUUUAUUGUAUAUUUAUAUUAAGAAUUUUUUUAUUUUUUGUUUUUAAUUAAUUUUGUGUGAUUGUAUAAAGUGAGUCAUUGCUAUCUAUUAAUAGGAAUAAAACUUGUAAAAUUAUUUUUCUGGACUAAUCUUAUAAAAUUAUGUAAAUUGAUAUCAUUUCUCAUAAUCCAGCUGGACCCUCAAAUGCAAAAUAAAGAAGUGAAUAGACGUGGUGGAGUGGCUGUCAUCCAGCUGGACUCUCAAAUGCAAAAAUGGAGAUUCGAUUAUCCCAAAUCACAAGUCACAAGUCGCGAGGGGUGUGUGGAUUGGCAAUGGAAGCUGAUGUGGCACUUGAUACAACCUCAAUGUCCCAAUGCUGACUGCCAGUUGGAUCGUCCACGCUUCCCGAUAUUAUUUCUGUAUUGAGCCCCCAGCCCCUUCUAGCCUCUCAUCUUCCCUACCUUCUCCAACGUCUCUCUGUGCCUUUUUUGCUUUUUUUUUCCCAUUCAAUGCCCUUCACUCUUCUCCACCGCUGUGGCUCCACAGCACUCCUUCUCAGGCCUACUUUGGUCAAAUCAAGAGUCCUCAAACUGUCUCCAAGAUGUAUUUAGGUUUUGUUCUGUAGCUCUAAAAAUUGAAAAGCCUAGUUGAAUUCCUUUUUAAAAAUCUCAAAAUUAAUUAUUUGGAAUUGUAAUAAUAUGAAGGGAUAAAGAAAAAGACAAAAAAGCAAUGGAGUUUAAAACAACAAUGGAUGGAGCAUGAUUGAGGCAAAUUAGCUUUAGUUAAGGGUCCCAUGUACACCAUGACUCAUGUCAUUUGGGUCUUGCAAUCCUAUGUUCUAACUGUGCUCAUUCAUCAAUUUCAUUGGUAAAAUAUUAUUAAAAAAUUAAAUUAAUAACCUUUUUCAAAAACCAUAUUGUGGAUCCCGCAUUUCGGCUCGAUGCAUUCCCAUUCGAUGACGAACUCGUUUUUUAUUUAAAAAAUGAUUUAUUGAUUAAGAAAAUGACCUAAAGUCGCCACUUAUUUUUGUUAUAUUUUUAAAGGGUAAACAAAAUAAGAAAGAAAACCCUAAGUGUGGCUCCUUAUUUGAAAAAUGUGGUAUGUGAAAAACCAAAUCUGAGUUCGAGGGUCAGGUUACUUAUUGAGAAGGUAUGGUAAGGACCGUAACACUCCUUUAAGUCUCUAAAAACGGGUCUCUACUAAUAGGAUGAAGCAAGUAUGAUAAUUGAUCGAUUAAACAUGGAUACCAAACAAUGAUCAAAUGUGUGAAAGCAAGAUAUGCAUGAUAACAAAUAAAUCGAUAAAUGCAAUCGAAUACGAGACGUACCUUAAUCACAAGUUGAGCGUUAUCAUAAGAGACAAGGUUAGUGCACAAAUGUAGAAUAAUCAAGUAUAGCAAUCAAUCAAUUAAUGAGAAAAUCUCGUAUAUUGGGUCCCACCAAAACCCAAUUGAUCUUGCAUGAGUUAAUCUCAUAAAUUUCAUUAUUUUGGAAUUACGAAAAUUGUCUUCGUGCUUAUUAAAAUAGUGAAAAAUGAGAAAAUAAUUAAAAAAAAAAGAAAAAAGAAAAUCAUAGGACGCAUGCGUGAAUGAAAAAUGGUAGCACGUUUAUUAAAAAUUAGGUUUUGGUGAAUUGGGAUUUUAAUGAAGAAAUGAAAAAUAAAGAAAGAGAAAAAAAAUGAUAAUAAUAAUAAUAAUAAUAAUAAUACUGGCAAAUAAAUAAAUAAAACGAAUAACAUAAAAUAAAAUAAUAAAAUAAAUAAAUAAAUGUUUAUAUUAAAAUAUGAACAAAUAAAAAUAAUUAAGUUAGAUGAAUAAACAGAUCAAAUAAAUGAAUUUAAAAGAUUUAAAACCAUCUGAAAGACAAAUUUUUGAAAUUCAAGUUUUGAAACUAAAUUGAAAAUUGAAGUUUUAAGAAAUGAAUUGGAAAAUUGGAAUUUUAGAAAAAUAAUUUGAAAUUGAGAGUCAUGAAAAUUGGAACUUGGAAAAUUACUUGAGGAUUAAAGUAUGGAAAAUUAAAUUUGAAAAUUUGAAGUUUUUAAAAAAAAUUAAAUUUAAGAAUUGAAAACUUGGAAGUUAAAUUCGAAAAUGGAAAAUUUAAAAUAAAAUAAUAAUAAUAAUGAACAAAUGUGAAAAUUGGAACUUUGGAAAAUUGUGAAUUAAAUUUGGAAAUUGGAAUUUUGGAGGAUUAUUUAGAGAUGGAAUUUUAAAUAAAUAAAUAAGUGGAUAAAUAAAUUAAUGGAAUAAUAAUAAUAACGAAAAUAAUAAUGAUUGGAUAAAUAAUUGCGAAAUUGGAAUUUUGGAAAUUGGAAAUUGAAUUUAAAAAUCGGAAAUUUGAAGAAUUAUUUAGAGAGGGAAUUUUAAAUAAAUGAAUAAGUGAAUAAAUAAAUGAAUGGAAUAAUAAUAACAACGGAAAUAAUAAUGAUUAGAUAAAUAAUUGUGAAAAUUGAAAUUUUGGAAAUUGGAAAUUUGAAGAAAUAUUUGAAGAAAGAAUUUGAAAAAUAAAUGAAUAAGUGAAUAAAUAAAUAAAUGGAAUAAUAAUAAUGAAAAUAAUAAUGAUUGGAUAAAUAAUUGCGAAGAUUGGAAUUUUGGAAAUUGGAAAUUGAAUUUAGAAAUCGGAAAUUUGAAGAAUUAUUUAGAGAUGGAAUUUUAAAUAAUUGAAUAAGUGAAUAAAUAAAUGAAUUGAAUAAUAAUAACGAAAAUAAUAAUAAUUUGAUAAAUAAUUGCGAAGAUUGGAAUUUUGGAAAUUAGAAAUUGAAUUUAGAAAUCGGAAAUUUGAAGAAUUAUUUAGAGAUGGAAUUUUAAAUAAUUGAAUAAGUGAAUAAAUAAAUGAAUUGAAUAAUAAUAACGAAAAUAAUAAUAAUUUGAUAAAUAAUUGCGAAGAUUGGAAUUUUGGAAAUUGGAAAUUGAAUUUAGAAAUCGAAAAUUUGAAGAAUUAUUUAGAGAUUAAAUUUUAAAUAAAUGAAUAAGUGAAUAAAUAGAUGAAUGUAAUAAUAAUAAUAACGAAAAUAAUAAUGAUUUGAUAAAUAAUUGUGAAAAUUGGAAUUUUGGAAAUUGGAAAUUGAAUUUAGAAAUUGGAAAUUUGAAGAAUUAUUUGAAGAAAGAAUUUGAAAAAUAAGUGAAUAAAUAAAUGAAUGGAAUGAUAAUAAUAACGGAAAUAAUAAUGAUUGGAUAAAUAAUUACGAAAAUUGAAAUUUUGAAAAUUGGAAAUUGAAUUUAGAAAUUGGAAAUUUGAAGAAUUAUUUAGAGAUGAAAUUUAAAAAAAUAAAUAAAUAAAUAAAUAAAAUAAUAAUGAUAAUGAAGAUAAUAAUGAUUAAAUAAAUAAAUGUGAAAAUUGGAAUUUUGGGAAGUGAAAAUUAAAUUCAGAAAUUAGAAAAUUGGAAUUUAGGAAAUUGGGAAUUAAAUUUGAAAAUGGGAAUUUUUGGAAAAUUAUAUUUAAAAAUUUGAAUCUUGGAAAAUUAAAUUUAAAAUUAGAGUCUUAGAAAAUUAUUUUGAAAAUUGAAUUUUGAAGAAUUAAAUUUAAAAAAAUUGGAGUUUCGGAAGAUUGAAUAUUGAGGAUUAAGGUUUUGUAAACUAAAUUUAAAAUCAGAUUUUAGAAGAUUAUUUAGAAAAUGAUAUUUUUUUUUAAAUAAAUGAAUAAAUAAAUAAAUUUGAAACUUUGGAAUUUUAGAAGAAUUAUUUGAUAACAGAAUUUUUAAAAGAUGAAAUUUUUAACAUGAAAAAAUGAACUAAGAGGAUGGCACGUGACUGCUGCUGUUGGGGGGUGGCCGGAAUAUGGCGGUGGUCUUGCGAGAACCAAACCAGGCGCCACUCUGGAGCUCGUGCUGGCCGGACUCGUCCUAGAUGAGCUGGAAAUCAAGGUUCAGAAGCUUGAAGAUGCGACUGAGCUUGCCUUUUAGGCCCUCCACCUAAACGAUCUUCGCGCCUUUAGGUAUGUCCACCGUUUCUUCAAACAAAUCCGGCGUCGGCAAUGCUUGACUUUCACUAUAGCUUUUCGAGAUUAAUCCGAUCAAGGACCCCACCAUUCUUCCAAAACCUCAAGACAAUACAACUCUAGUCGAGGCUCGAUGGUCCAGUCAGGAGGCAGCCAAGUAUAUUGACCAUCCCUCUCACCUGAGUCGCUUGCUGAGUCGGCGUUGCUGAUGGCGCCACAUCAACUCUUAUGGAAUUCAAAGCCAUAUUGUUCUAGGACCAAGGCUGGAUUUCUUACGUUGCAAGUGCGAAUAUAUAACAGAGGGGUGAGCAACUGCUGUUGGAGCAACAAAUUGGCUAAUUUUGGAAUUUACUGUAACUGGAGAUCACUUCAAAGAUUGAACUUUCUUUAUUCUAUCAAGACCUGCUCUCCCAUGCAUUUUCCCAUUAAGACUAUAUAUAUAUAUAUAUAUAUAUUUAUGGCCCUUCCAAUUUCCUUACCCAUUGCAUGCCAUCCUCUUCACGUAUCUUCCCAUGACCACAAUCCUUCAAUCCCAGCAACUUGGCCAUUGACGAUACCACCCCACCAUCAACAAGAGAGAGAUAGAGAAAAAAAACAUAAAAACUAAGCAUGCCCUUAACUCUAUGUCAUGGACCAUCAAAGAGAUAUGAGCAAGUAGAAUCCGGAGGAAAUAAAAGCAUAGUUUUGAUACAUCAUGUUAUGGAAGGAACAAAACAUAAAAUAUUUUCAAGAGAAGUAAAAAAAAAAAAAACACCGAAAAUAAAUCGGAUACAGAGCAUGCAUACCCAGAGUCCCGCAAAACAAACGACCUAUAAUAUCCACACCAAUCAACAAACCAAAUACUCAUACGAAUAGCUGAAAAUGAGAGUUAAUCAAUGUGGAAAUGAGAAAUAAGGAGCUCACGAAAAGUCAUACCUGGAAUGCUCCUUUCAAGCAAAGAGUGGGUUGGCUUCCAGCAGUGUCGUUUCUUCUCCCCCCCCCCCCCGGGAUGUCUCAUUUUCAGAAUUUUUUUUUGCCACCCCCCCCCCCCCCCCCCAAAAAGGGGGAGAAACGGGUUUUUUUUUUCAGGCGCCCGGUUUUUGGAGCCCCAAUAUGGGCGGCCCCCCAAUUUUUUUUUUUUCAUGACUUUUAUCCGGGGGGGGGGGGGGGGGAGGAAAAAAAAAAANNNNNNNNNNNNNNNNNNNNNNNNNNNNNNNNNNNNNNNNNNNNNNNNNNNNNNNNNNNNNNNNNNNNNNNNNNNNNNNNNNNNNNNNNNNNNNNNNNNNCCCCCCCCCCCCGGUAUGUUUCAUUUCCAGACUUCUUUUUUGCUACCCCCCCCCCCCCCCCCAAACCAGGCUCCUAACCGGUUUUUCUUUUCAGUCGUCCUGUUUUGCUGCCACCACUAGCUCGGCCCGUCCCAUCUAGCUGCCCCAUGCAACUUAAUCCCGGGGUGGUCAGAAGAAUAAUAAAAAAAAAUCAAGGGAGAAUUACCCUUAAGGGUAGGCUGGGGAAAAAAAUGACCAAUGAGGGUGGGUAAAUUUGAUAAUUAUUGUAAAGGGUAGGGUAAAAUUAUGAUAAUUCCUCCAAAGGCCUUAUUUUGUUUAAAUGCCAAUACUACCCUUAAUAAGUGAAAAGCAAGUAAAGUGAAAAGCAACAGAAAAUAAAAAAGAGUUUAUUCUCCCUUUCUUUAACCUACCUGGAGCCGAGUUGUAGAAGAAAAAGGGGAAAGGAAAAAGGUGCGCACUUCAGGUCAUUCUCUGCAACCGAUACACAAAACUUGUUUUUUUUUUUAUGAAUCUAGUAAGAAAUCCAUUAAAGGUCAGUUUUUUUUUUUUUUAAUACAAAAAAAAACGUCAAUUUAUGGAAAAAUAAAUAAAUAAUUUUAAAAUCGGAUUGAAUGAAGGAAAAGUUAAUAAUUUUAACAAUGUAGUUGUAAGAUAUUAGAUUUGAAAUAUUGAAUGAGGUUUUGAGAAAGAAAUUACAUUUUUUUAAAAUGUUAUUUAAAUUUAUUAUUUUGAAUUUUUUUUUUAUAUUAUUUAGGUCAUAUUGAAGAUGUGUUUUUAUUUUUAAUUUAUUUUCUGGGUGGGUUGUUUGAUAUGAUUAUUAUUGAUUUCCAUUGAAAAUGUUUGCACUUUAGUUUUGUUGUUAAGACUUUUUGACAUGAUUGAAGAAAAAAUGUUCUCAGUUGUUUCAUGCUUGUUUGGGACCACUUUGUUUGUGUAUUUAUAAACAUAUUUGGAUUGUCAUUGAAAACUAAAAUCCCCUUUGUACGAGACCACUUUGUCUUUUAUUAUGAAUUUGUUAAAGAGUUAAGAUCACUAUAUUUUUGUUAUAAAUUUGUUACCUUUUUGUAUAAGUAUUAUUUUGGUAUGAUGAGUCGAAUGCCUAGUAGUUUGAAGGUUGUGUAAAAGAACCAUUAUUUCAGUUAUAAAGUAUAAGUACAAUACAAAUGCAAUAUAGUUACAAUGAAAAAAUAUUAACAUUAUGAUACAUUACAAUAUACCAAAAUGACAAAAUAUUGAAUUAUUUUUUACUGAUUUGGCAUUUCUAGGCUAUCAUGUUGUAUUCCUAUCAUAAAGCAUCCUUGCAAGCCAAAAUUAUAAAAAAAAACAACAACAAAAAUACACUAUUGUAAUUUCAAUACAUGAAGUUGUUGAUGAUAAUCCAAUGAUGGAUAAAAAAAAUCUAUAAAAUUAAUUUUUUUUAUAUAAAAAUAUAGAGGUAUAAUAAAAAUACAAUACAAUUACAAUACAAAUACAAUAACAUUACGAUACAUUACGAUAAGGUAAAAUUUUGAAAAUGUCAAAUUUCUUACGAAACUGGGCAAUUAUGGGUUCUUUGGCAUAUCCCUAACAUGUAUAAUAUACAACAAAUAUUGUUAUUUAUUAUAUAAAAUAUGUCUCUCAAUUGAUUAUAAUUUUCAUUUGUUUAUUUUGUAUUCGUUGUAAAAUUUUCAUUGAUUGUAAUAUUGUGAAAUAGUUGUUGAUGAUAAUCCAAUGAUGGAUAAAAAAAAUCUAUAAAAUUAAUUUUUUUUAUAUAAAAAUAUAGAGGUAUAAUAAAAAUACAGUACAAUUACAAUACAAAUACAAUAACAUUGCGAUACAUUACGAUAAGGUAAAAUUUUGAAAAUGUCAAAUUUCUUAUGAAACUGGGCAAUUAUGGGUUCUUUGGCAUAUCCCUAACAUGUAUAAUAUACAACAAAUAUUGUUAUUUAUUAUAUAAAAUAUGUCUCUCAAUUGAUUAUAAUUUUCAUUUGUUUAUUUUGUAUUCGUUGUAAAAUUUUCAUUGAUUGUAAUAUUGUGAAAUAGUUGUUGAUGAUAAUCCAAUGAUGGAUAAAAAAAAAAAUCUAUAAAAUUAUUUUUUUUUAUAUAAAAAUAUAGAGGUAUAAUAAAAAUACAGUACAAUUACAAUACAAAUACAAUAACAUUACGAUACAUUACGAUAAGGUAAAAUUUUGAAAAUGUCAAAUUUCUUAUGAAACUGGGCAAUUAUGGGUUCUUUGGCAUAUCCCUAACAUGUAUAAUAUACAACAAAUAUUGUUAUUUAUUAUAUAAAAUAUGUCUCUCAAUUGAUUAUAAUUUUCAUUUGUUUAUUUUGUAUUCGUUGUAAAAUUUUCAUUGAUUGUAAUAUUGUGAAAUAGAUUGAUUUGAUUGUCGGUGAAAGAAGACGUACUUCUGAAUUGGUAAAUGGACUUGGAAAAUUCCAUUUAUGGCUACCUCAUGAAGGAGGGGAGAUUGUACCUAAGGAGGAUAAACAAAUACAAUACAAGGGUGGACAACAAAAAGACAUGUACAUUGGACAAAGGAUGUCAUAUGCUGAAUUUGUUUCAAAGGCAUGUGAACGGUUGGAUAUUAAUUCAAAUGGAUAUACAUUUCAUUACACCCUUGAGUUUGAUCCAUCUGCACUUCAACAGUUGGAUGAUGAUGAGGACAUGCAUAUGAUGUUAUCCCAUAGUUAUGAUUAUGCUCGUAUUUAUGUAUUAAAACGGACUCGAAGAGUAGAAGUUGAAGGAGGUAUAGUCAAUGUGCAAAAUGAUUAUUGGUAAGUGAUAUAUCUUGUAUUAGUUGUCAUAAAUUCCAUGAUGCAAAGUGAUUUUAAUAUUAAUUAACUGAGUGUGCUAUAAUAUGCAGUCACAAUAGUACGGAGGAAACACACAAUUCAGUUGCAUCAUGUCAAGCAAACAAUGAGUCUAAUUUAGGACUUUCUCAAGGCUUCAUGUCCAGAUGUGCAGAAACUGAAGUUAUGCCACAUGAUUUAAGUCUUUGUCCUCAACCUAUUAUUGGGAGUGGGCAUAGUUUUCCUAAUGCAGAUGAAUUUAGAAAUGCAUUAUAUACGAUGUCAUUAGUUGGUAGAUUUCAAUACAAAUUCAAAAAGAACUCUCCAAAGCGAAUAUCUGUGUGCUGUUUAGUGGAUGGGUGCCCUUGGAGAAUAACUGCUAAUUCAGUAGGCACAACCAAAAUUUUGAAGGUUAACAUCUUCAUUGAUGUACACAAUCAUUAUGCAGAUGUUGAGUGUUCAAGCCAACCUUCAAUGCGGGGAAGGAGAGGUGCUCGUGUCAUAGAGCAAGUAAUAAGGGCAACCCCUCAGUAUUUGCCCCGUCAAAUUUGCAAAGACUUCAGGAGUCGGUAUGGUGUUUCAUUGAGUUAUAAGCAAGCUUGGACAUACAAAGAAAUGACAAAAGAGAGAAUAUAUGGUCUUCCAGAAAACUCAUAUAUGUUGUUGCCAUGGUUAUGUCAGAGAUUGGUAGACAUUAAUCCAGGGACGAUUGCUGAAUAUAGCACACAAGAUGGGCAUUUUUGGCAAUUGUUCAUUGCACAUUCUUUUUCAAUUCAAGGGUUUUUAAUGGGUUGUCGACCUGUUAUUGCAAUUGACUCAACUCAUUUGAGUGGACCGUAUAGGGGCUCUUUAUUUUCUGCAACAGCUUAUGAUGCUGAUGAUGGCAUGUUCCCAAUUGCAUUUGGUGUUGUAAGUUCAGAAAACUAUGAGGAUUGGCUAUGGUUUUUGCAGAAAUUGAAGGGCAUACUUCAAGAUAAAGAGGUAGUCAUAAUAUCAGAUAGGCAUCAAGCAAUCCUUCGUAGUGUUUCUCAACUUUUUGGAGUAGAAAAUCAUGCAUAUUGUUAUCGUCAUGUGAAAGAGAAUUUUAGUAGCUAUGUGACGAAACAUAGUAUGAAGGGAAAAAAAUGUAAAAUGGAUGCAUUGUUGCUACUUGAUAAUGUUGCGUAUGCUAGGUUGGAUGAUGAUUAUGUUGUAGCCAUGGAAAAAUUAAAGACAUAUAACAGUGACCUAGCGAAGUGGGUUAAAGAGAACGGUCCACAACAUUGGGCAAUGUCAAAGUUUGCCAAAAAACGAUGGGAUAAGAUGACAACUAAUCUUGCUGAAUCAUUCAAUGCUUGGCUGAAGGAGGAACGCCAUUACACAAUUUUCAACUUAGUAAUGACACAUAUGGAUAAGUUUGCUCAUCUAGCAUGUGAUCAUAUGGGUUCUACAGAAAAUUGGAAAGCUGCAAUUGGCCCAAAGACCGAGGAAAAGUUGUUGGAAAACAUUAUAAAGAGUGGGUCAUUGCCUGUAUAUCCCUAUGUUGGUGGUGUGUUUAAGGUAUUCAAUAUGAAAGUAUAUGUAGACGUGAAUUUGAGAGAGCGUACAUGUACUUGUAAGGCUUGGCAAAUGGCCGGAAUACCUUGUGAGCAUGCAUGUACAGCAAUAUGCCAGAUGAAACAAGAUGUUUAUGAAUAUGUUGACUCAUAUUUCAAGCUUCCAAUGCAAGAGUUGAUAUAUUCUGGACACUUCAAUUCAAUUCCAAAUCACAAUAUGCCUAUAGUUGAUGCUGAUGGAUGUGUUCGUGAUGUUCAAGGUCGCUUAUAUCCUUCGCUUAAACCUCCAUGCUCAAAACGACCACCUGGAAGGCCUCGACACCGUCGAAUAGAGUCGCAAUUUAGUUCAAAAAGGCUUAUCUUCUGUUCAUGAUGUCAAGUUGCAGGCCAUAAUCAAGCUUCAUGCAAAAAUCCAUUACCCGCUCCAUGAUUCUAGUGUUAUGCUUGUUUGGUGACAUGCUACUUUUUAUCUUAUUUUGAUUGUGAUGAUGUGUGGUUUAUGAAAUUAGAAUCUGUAAGAAUUUGUUUUGGAACUUACUUAUUUACUUGAUUGUCAUGACAAAGAUGCUUGUAUUACAUAUGCCACUAUUUUAGACUUAUGAUCUUAUCAUUAUUUAGGGUGGUUUGUAACCAUGUUUUUAAUGUUAUUUUGAAGAUCAUUAUUGACUUUGUACAUGUUCAUUACAUUUGUUUAACUUGUUUUCCAUUGAAAUACAGGUUACAUCAUGGCAUCUUCAAGUGCUUCAUUUAGAAAUAUAAGAGGUAAUAUUAGAAAUGGUGAAUAUUUACUUUAUCAUAACUGUAUGUGUAAAUGUUCACCCAGACAGAGGGCGGCUGUUAGAAUCUCUGAAUCAAAGGAUAACCCAAAUAGGUUAUAUUAUUGUUGUCAAUAUGCAAAUGCUAGAGAUGACUGUCAUUUCUUUAAAUGGGCAUUCCCGGAAGGAAAUGGUGAUGGCAACACCUACCAAGAACCAGAAGAGGUUGUUCAAAGAAAAAUGUAUGGCGUGGAUGAAGAUUUUAAACAUAUUUUAACAAGAAUUGAGUUCAUGCAGAAAGUAAUUGUAGUAGGACUACUUUUAUUUUUUGUUCUAUGUUUGAAAAUUGCUUAAUCAUACACUUACUUCAUGUCUAUUAAGUUUUGGAUUAUAUAUGUAAUGCUUAAUUGUAUUGUACUUUGAUGUAUUUGUAUUUGGAGUUAUUUAUAAUAGGUUAUUUAUCUCCAUUAUGUGGACUUGUAUUAGAUUUUUAAUUAUAAUAGUUCACAGUUUUGCCUACAUUUUUAAUUACAUUUACAACAUAAAUUCACUAACAUUACGAUAAAAAAACACUAACUGUAUGAUAAAUUACAACAUAAACUAACAAUGCAAUCUUUUGACUAAAUAAAGUCCAAUUUCUUGGGUUGAUUACCAAUUUCUUAUAUAUAAUGGUUCAAUAUUUUUUUUUUUUUUUUGUAACCUCAAAUUAGAAAUGUCUUCUUAGCUUUGAUAAUGAGCUGUUGUAUUUUUUUUUUAAAAAAAAAAAAAUUGCAACGAUCUGAAAACAUUAUAGAAUAGAAUUAUUCAUAAACUUAUUUGCCUGUAAAAAUAAAUUAUAUUAAUUUUUUAAUUUAUUAAAUUAAAAUCUAUUUCUUAUUUUUCUAUUUUUUUAAUAAUUUUUUUCGUUGAAAUGGACUCAAAAUGGUAGCUUUUACCAUGCAAAACUAGAGUGUAAAACCUUUUGUCAUUUAGUUAUAAAGACUUUGAAAUACUUGAAAUUACUCUCUUAUAAGUUUCUUGAAAAUGUAAUAUGUUUAAUAGGAAUUUUUUAAAAUAAGAUAAAAUAAUAGACCUCAUUGUGUGUUUAUUACUACAGUGAAAAAAAUUUGCUACAAUGAAUCAGUGAUUGUGCAAUUUUAUGUCGUUGGAGUUAUAAUAAUAGACCUCAUUGUGUGUUUAUUUUAUGGGUUAGAUUUCUCAUUGUAUGACAAUAUAAUUAUGAAAUCAAUCUCAUUUUUUGAAGUUUGGGAAAUGAUGAGAGAUUCAAACAGGUUAGCAUAGGCUUAAUGGUUUUUUUGGCAUGCUGAAUAUUUUUUGCACGUCAGUCUGAUCCCAAACUUUGUGAAGUACAACAAAUAUGACAGUCUUUUUGUUUUGUUCUUGAUGUUGUUAUUUCAAUUCUGCUUUGGCAGAAAAAAAACAAAAAAAUUGAUCACCCAAGUAGUUGAGCUAAGUUAUCCCAGAUUGGCCUAUCAUUGAUGCGUUGGAGUUAUCAAUGUGUGAUAUCAUUUUGAUACCAUGGAUUUGGGAAAUGAUGAGUUGACAGUGCAAUGCCUACAGCAAUUUAGAGAAAUUUGAAGAUCACAAACAAAUGAUGGCAUAACAAUAAUUAUUAAUAAAUAGUAGCAGCUAUGAGUUCCAAACAAAUUAGUUGAUGUAAGCCAAUUUAUAAAAAAAUAUCAGACUAGUAAAUUUGGAAAUGGAACUCCAUCAGACUAUAAAAAAAUAUCAACAACUAUAAACCAAAAAAAUUACAACAUCACUGAUCCAUAGCCUGGUAGACAUUUUCCCUGACUUCAUUUUCUGGAGACAUUAUCAGUUGUGUUAGGAGUUUUUCCCUGUACUUUAUGACCUUGUCCUGUACAAAAGAGUAUAUAAUAUAAUAUUAAGAAAAAUUCAUGAUCAUAAAAAAAAUAUAUAUAUAUUUUAUUCACCACAAUAUAAUACAUUUGCAAUUGCACGAGAAAUUCCACGGUUACUCCAUAAUUGCAUAAACUUGAUUAGAAAUAUGCCACAAUCCGUUCUGCAAAUAGUAAUUAAGGAAAUUAUAAGUCAAUUGGGUAUCAAAUUAGUAAAUUUAUAACCUGAUUUGCUUUCCAUAGUUAAAGAGGAAUACAAAUCAUGCAACUUACGGAUUCAAUUGUUGGACAACUUCUGGAACAACAAAUUCAUAUUCUGUCAUGUCCACUGAUGGUCUUCUUUCUUGAAUCCCAAUGACAGUUGACAAAACGUUCACCUUAACACAAUAUUCAAUUAUAAAUAUGGACAUCUUUAAAAAAAUAAUGACAACGAUUCACAUAAGUAAUUGGACUAUAACUAUAUUUACCAGUUUCUCUAUGAAGGUAUCCAUCCGUUUUUUCCUUCCGUCAAUUAAUGAAUCCAACAACUCUAUUCUUUUCGCAUGAAUAUUCAAAAUGAUUAAAUACCAAUGAUUUUUCCUGCAUAUUGGUAUGAACAACUAAAAGGAACAAAAAAAAAAUAAAACAAUGAUUUUAUCAAAUUAGUUGUGUUCAUGUAUUUUCUGCACAAUACUUAAAAAUAUCCAACUACAAAGUACUUUUAUUAAACUAAAUAAAACCUGUUCAUAUGUGCACAACCGAGUAUUUUUGAAAUAUUUCCAUAAAUUGUCACAUAUGUAUUUUGGAGAUAAGGAACCCCUCUUGUUUUCCACAUCAGACUGUAAUAAAAAAAUUACAAACCAUACAUUAGAUUAAAACAAUCUACGUAAAACAAGAAAACCAAUCUAUAAUUCUUACAACAUAUCUUACAACAAAGUUUGGAGAUAAGAAAUGCUUCCUAUUUUCUUUAUCCAUACCAUUCAAAAUUCGACAAUGCAUGGUUACAACCUUCAUGUAAAUUAAUGAAAAUUAGAUAUAUAGUUUUAGAGUAAUUUUAUCCUAACUUCACAUAACUAAAUAUGAAUACCUUAUUGUCAACCAAUUUGUCGGGUCCCAAGCAUUUCAAGUCAAACCUUGUCAAGAAGAAAUUGUGCAUGGAACAUAAUAUUUGGCUACACAUAAAUAAUUAUGAUGUUAGAAAUUAAAACUAAUUAUUUCAAAUGCCUAUCUUAAUUGUAUUUGUUUAUACUAAAUUAAGUUCAACCUUACCUUUCAUCACGUGUAUCGUCCAAUGCAUAUGCCAAAACUUGCUUUGCUACAGAUGAAGACGCUGAAAAUUUGAUUGACGGUUGUACCACGUAUGGUGAUUGUAGGGCAGUAGCAUGUCGACGUAGCCGAUAUGAACGUAUUGGAGGAUGUCCAGUCUCGUAAGGAAUAAUAGCAUUCAUCUGAACUUCAUCCUCAACUAUAUGUAUAGAAAAUAAAAGAAAAUAAAAUUCACUAAUGAAAAUAACACGCAUAGGAAAUACUAGCCAUUAUUAUAUACUCAUUAUUAUUUUGAUAUUAAAACAUAAAGAAGCAGAAAGUAUACUGCUAUGCUGCGCUGCUGGCUGUGAGGUUGAUGGGCCUACAUUAUCUUCACCAUCAGCAAAACGAUCAUUCAGUGGCGAUCCAUAAGCUAAUUUCAGAAUGCAUAAUAACCAAAAUUAUUAUUUCCAAAAAAAAAAAAUUAUACAACAUUUGCAAUUAAAUUAAAAGUAAUACAAAAUUAUAAUGACUAGUGCUAUAAAAAUCGUACUACCAUGUGGUGGUGAUGGGAAAGAAUCAUUGAUAUCAGGUUGAUUAUGACUUCUGCUUUGAUGAGAAGAUGAUGGGGUUUUAUUUGUAUUCUGCCGCUUUGCUAGUUUACCAAUUGCUCCUCUCAUUGUUCGAAGCAAUUGGUGAAUUUGUCUCUCUGCUGCAUUAUAUUCUGCUAUAAUUUCCUACAAAAUGGUACAAAGUGUCAAAGACGUAUAUUAUUAUGCAUAACAUGUUUGGUUUUCGCUUUAAAUAAAAGAAUAGAUGUAGAAGGUUCUCACAUCAGUAGUCUCUUCUUCAACUUCAUUUACUGGAUUACCAGGGUCUUCAUGUGCAUCUUCCUCCCUUUCAUCUUCUUGAACCUAAAAUAAUAAAAAGAAGAAUAUACAAUUUUUAUAAAUUUAUUUUUCAAAUAUGAAAAUAAAAUAAAAUGUUGAAAGAAAAUUGUCUCUUACAUCAGCUAGUCCAAAAUCACCAUAAUCAUGCAAUACCGCAUGCACCCUUUUCUUCAUCAAGUCAUCAGUCCACGCUGCACAUAUUGGGAUGGUACGUGGUACCAACAUGGUUGGAAUGUAAAAUUUAUUUAAAUAAAAAAGCUGAAACACAAAUAUUCCACACAUCAAUACGUUAUUUAGAAAAGACUUGUUAAAACAUAUAAAAUGAUAUGGAAACCUUCAACAUUUAAUAAAAAAAGGUAUCUACCUAUAAAAAAAUAAGGCAACCUGUAAACCAUGAGCCUUUACCCAAUCGAAAAUGUCUAAUUCCAGCAACCAGUGUGUCAAGUACAAAUUGACCCCAAUUAACAUUGAUGUCAAAGUCUCCAGCAAGCAAAGUACACCACAACUCAUGACUACCAUCCAACUUUGAUGUUGGAGCAAGUAAUGUAGCACAUGAGAAGAAGAUAAACAAUUUUUUGAACUCGGCCAUGUCUUCCAUUAAAAUCAGCCUAUCUCUAAGAUCUGAUAGGUUUUCCAUCCUAUCAUUCCUAUUGGUAGGUGAAAGUAGGAGCCUCCUACCAAUAUAUGGAAUACCCAGAAUUUCACCUACAUCAGAACAAGUUAUUGGAAAUUGCCUUUCUUGUCCUAUGUCUAACCUACAGUGGGCUAUAUUGAAAUGAGUUAUUAUCCAUCUACAUAAGCUAUGCCUUAUCUCUGUGGAAGAGAGCUGAAGUAAUCCACCAAAGCCAAUAUGUUGAAUUAUACUCUUCUUUUCAUCACUUAGCUCAUCAAGUAGAUGUCUAAGUUUUUUGCUGGAGCAUCGACUAUUUAUUUUGACCUCCUGUAAAAGUAAAUAAAUGAUAAUAUAAAAUUAAAAUGAAAACAGUCAAAUUAAACAACAAUGUCAAACAUUAAUAUAGUCAAAAUAAAAUAAUACUAAUUAAAAUAAUGUUCAAACCUGGUUGUAUUGUAUUGUUUUUUUCCUUUUAUCCAUGUAUUAUACUCCACACUGCACUAUGGAAUUUAUAUCAAAUAAUCAAUUGUCACAAUUAAAUAUAUAAUGAAUCAAGUAAUGUUGUAAUAUAUUGUACUUCUAGUGCAAUUGUAUUGUAAAUGUAGGGCAUUUGUAUUGUCGCCUUAUUUAUUUUAGUUUAACUACUAUUAGUGAUCCCAAAUACAGUUACAUACAUGCUACUAAAAACACACAGAGCCAUUGUAUUAGUGGAUAACAAAUUUAAGUUGUUUGAUGGUAAUCCAAUAUGUACAAAUUGUUAAUGCUCAUCAUGGCUAACCUUUUAAAUCAUAUAUAAUUCCCCCAAAUUAGCCCACUGAUCAAGAAAUAGACUUUAGUUGCUUAUAGAAAAGCCAAAGCCAAGAACCCUUUAUUGCCAGUUCACCCUUUUCCUUUUUUCUUUUCCUUUUUGUUAUUUUAGUAACCUGUCACAGAACCUCAAUAUAUGAAAUAUUGACAAAUUUGCAUAUUGAAUAAUGCUCAAAAAGGGUUUGUGAAAAAAAUUGAUGAGACAGGGCUUUGUUAAGCCAAGUCAAGUUGUACAUAUUUUAUACAUCUCCACUUUUGCCUUCUGUAUUACAAAAUAUAAUAUGGUCAGCCCAACAACUGAAUUUUUCAUCAGUUUCCUUGAGUAGAUACCAUGAAACAAAGGGGUAGCAUAUAGAAAUUAUCAUCAUAUUUAUAAAAACAAUACUAGCGAAGAUUGCUAAAUGAAAGUGCAAGGAUAUUCUUGAUGACAAAAGAAAAUAAAAAAGGGACUGAUGUGCAGUUCUUAAAGAAUAAAAAUUUCAUUCCAUGCAUAGAGAUCCAAUCCUGCUAAGAUGCUAUCAAAUUUUCUUGGCUUGAAAGAGCACUUAAAUAGAAGGAGUUUAAUACAAAAGGAGUGACCCCAAAAUGUUUUAAAAAGAAUAGUUCUCGAGAGAAAAAAACAAAAUUUUCUGAGAUUCUGUAAUGAAAGAAAACUUACCAGGAGACCUUGUAAUAAAAAGAAUCUAUAAUAGAUAAAAAUUUCUUCAGACACAUGAAAAUUCAACCCUUUCUAGGAUGAUGUAAAAUUUUCUUGGGUCAAAAAAGAGGAUUAGAGGAUUUAUGCUGAAGGAGUUCACUUACCAAAAGCAACCAAUAGAAUGAUUACAUAAAUCAGUUUCAUAAGAGAAGAUAUCUGAGAUUUUAUACAGUGAAAGGAGUUUUCAAGGGAAACAACCAGUUGAUUUAAAAGUAAAUAAAUUUCAUGAAUGAAAUUACUAUAUGAGAUUUUCAAUGAGAGAAAAUGAGUCAAUUCCAAGAACAUUACCUGUCUAAGAAUUGGGGUGGCACUUGUUUCUCUUAACUUUUGAGCAUCUGAGUAAGUCAAGCAUGGAACUGGUUUCAGUUCUGCAUACUGCAAAACAGUAAAAGGGCUAUGCCAUCAUGCACGUGGAAAAAAAAAAAAGAAGCAUAAUUUGAUUUCCAUCACCAUUAAACUAAAGAACUCAGUGGUGUACCACUUUUACCACAGAAUAUCUAACACCAACCUGGAAAGGAAAGCCAGUGAACUACAUGGAAUGCAGGCCAAAUGGGAAAACAAAAAGAAGAAAAAAGUUAAGUCUCCAAAUGGAGAAAAUAGCUUAAACAACAUGACAGGUGGUUAGAUCAACGCAACUGGUGAAAAUUGAGAUUUUAAAAAUACAAUAUUGUUAUCUAUUCCUAGUAUUCUCACAGAGUGGGAAGGUUAAACUUCAAGGCAUAUGGGACUUGGCCAUGGAUACUAUCUCAUGGAAGUAGCAACAAGCUAUGGCCCAACACAAAUAGCAAGCUGGGCAGCUGGCAGAAAAAAAAAUGUUUGAUUUAUAGUUGCAUUAAGAAGUGAAUGAGGAAGAUGAGGACAAGCAAGUGGACAAUGAGGAUGAGCUUGGAGAUAAUGAAUUGCUUGAGGAUGAAGAUUUUAAUCUAGUGGAGACAGUUUUGAUUUCAACUCAAGAAUGAACUCUUGCAAUUGUAAUUUCAUUUGGAUGAUGGUGACAGUUCUGAGAUUGUCUUGUUUUGUGAAAUUUCAACUUGAAGAUGCAGAGAAAGCCCUCACUUUAGGUCCAUUGUUGGCUAAAUUCAACACCAUGAAAGUGAUUGGGAGAAAGGGUUAUGUCUCUUUUAUUGAUUAUAAGGUACUAGAAACUGCAACAAACAAUUUUCAGGAAAGUAAUAUCCUGGGUGAGGGCGGGUUUGGUUGUGUCUACAAGGCGCGGUUGGAUGAUAACUCCCAUGUGGCUGUGAAGAAGGUAGAUGGUAGAGGCCAGGAUGCUGAGAGAGAAUUUGAGGUAUAUAUCUUUUGUUAAGUAAAACAAAUGAAUUGGCUUCCAUUUUGGGGGUUUGGCAUAUUACCUCUCAUCAUGUUCUUGAUCACAUUUGAAAAUGCAGAAUGAGGUGGAUUUGUUGACUAAAAUUCAGCACCCAAAUAUAAUUUCUCUCCUGGGUUACAGCAGGCAUGAGGAGUCAAAGUUUCUUGUCUAUGAGCUGAUGCAAAAUGGAUCUCUGGAAACUCAAUUGCACGGUAAGAGUACGAGGAUUUUCCCAUUAGUUAAAAAGACGAAAACAAGGAGAAUACUGAUGUUUUCUUUUUCUGUCAUCUGACUGAUGUUUCAGGACCUUCUCAUGGAUCAUCUCUAACUUGGCAUAUUCGAAUGAAAAUCACUUUGGAUGCAGCAAGGUGAAUUUGCAGACCCCAAUGCUAAUCUUUUUCUUACUAUUUGAUAUUCUGUAUAAACAAAGUUGGUUGUGUUGACCAGAGGAUUAGAGUAUCUACAUGAGCACUGCAACCCACCAGUCAUCCAUAGAGAUCUUAAAUCAUCUAAUAUUCUUCUGGAUUCAAACUUCAAUGCCAAGGUAAAAACAUACAAAAGUUGUGGAAUCUUUUAGGUCUUUGUCUAUAAAAUUUAUGACAGUGCACCAGAACAUUGCUGAUAUAUAUAUAUAUAUAUAUAUUUUUCUUUUUUGUGUUCUCUGGCUCUCUCUUGUGGAUUAGCUUUCGAAUUUUGGUCUAGCUGUAAUUGAUGGGCCUAAAAACAAGAACAACUUGAAGCUUUCAGGCACCCUGGGUUAUCUAGCUCCUGAGUAUCUUUUAGAUGGUACAGAAUCUAAACUUCUUAUAGUUUUUUUUUUUCAUAUCCACAUAUUUUAUUUUUCAUAAAUAUGACUAUUGAAAGCUUCAAACAUGCUGUAAAAUAGCUCGGAUCUUGAUAAACAUAUUAAAUCAUUAAAACUUUAGAUUGCUCAAAACUGUUGGUAUGGGAUUCCUGAAAGAGGGUUAGUUGAUUCACUAACUUGGGAACUCUAUUUCAGAUUGACAAAGUCAGACUUCCGGGAGCCAGUGAAUAUUGGAAGUGAUGAAAUGGUUAGUAUGAAUGAGAUGGCUGAAAUUGUCCUAAGCUUUGAGAAUAAGAACCUACCCAUCCAUCACAUUCCUGGCCCAGAGGGCGUACGUGGUCGAAACUCACACAAUAAUCUGAUCAAGGAGAAGCUUGUUGGUUUCCCAUGUAAUUUCCAACAAUUUUCUCGACUAUGGUUAGAUCACUGACAAUGAUCACACCAUAUGCAAUUAUUCUGUCAACCUCCACGCUGGUAAGGAGUCAAACACUACUCAUCAGAAUUUGGCCACUGCUCUCCAUAAUUUGGAGGUUGUUCUCCAGAGGCUGAACUACUACAUUUUGUGACAAGCGCAGAGUUUUGCAGUAAGGAUUCAGCUGAUGGAUCCUUAGAGGUUUUGAGCAUUACUCACUUUCUACUUUCUUCCCAUCUAACUUCAGAAAAGGCAUCUUGAAUCCCUGGCAAGGGUUUUGUUCCCAAAACGCAUCCACGGGCCUCAUCUAGGUUGUUAAGACCAUGGAGAAAAGCAAACAACCUUUCUUUCUCCAGUUUCUUGGUAUAUUUUACGCAAUAAUCAGGGCAAGCCCCAGUGUUAUCAUCAAACAAAUCCAACUCCUGCCACAAACCAAUCAAGGUAUUGUAAUAAUCUAUCACCGUGAAAUCACCUUGCUUCUUCUCCUUGAGUUUGGAUUGUAGUUCAAAGAGAUGAGAAACAUUGCCAAGAUCUGAGUACAUAACCUUGGCAGUGUCCCAAAUCUCUUUCGCUAUCUUGUAAGAGAGAUAAUUCCACCCUAUUUUAGGCUCCAUCAAGUUUACCAGCCAAGCCAUCACCAUGGAAUUCUUGGAUUCCCAUGUGAGUUAGCCAUGUUUAGUUGCUGCUGGUUUUUGAGUCUCCCCUGUUAAGUAGCCUAGUCAUCCCUUGCCACGAAUGACGAGAAGGACAGAUUGGGACCAUUCCUAAUAAUUGCUCCCAUUUAAUUUAUGUUGGGUAACCUGCAGGGUGUGAGAUUCAGCAAUAUUGUUGGCAAGAAGAGAGUUGGAUGGUUGGGUAAUUGUCUCGAAGGAUACUCUAGAGGUUCCAUCACGAGCAUGGCCAGUCAUUUGUUUUAACCAUGGACAAUAACCAUUUUUUUAGGAAAUCAAGGAGUGCUCUGAUACCAUAUUGAGUUGAAAAAGAUAAUUUUUUAUUCAACCUGAUUUUCCACUGCAUCAAACUCUGAUUUAUAGAGUUACAACACAUGUAAAACAGAAGCCAGAGAUAACCUCUUGGCUGACCUGAAAUCUAGGAACAAAAAAAUAAAUUCAAAAAUAAACAACCUGAUCAGAUAAGAUAACUGCCUAACAAACAAAUCUGAUCUGAUGUUUUAUUAAAUAACACAAAUUUAAACUAACUAGAAAAAACGUAACCUUUCAAUAGUAGGCUACCAAGAUAAUAUGACAUAACUAAAAACAAAAAUGUGCUACUUAACAUGGUAACAAAAGAUUGUAUUUAUUCUCAAAUAUCCUGAAUCUAUUCAGAUUCCAAACCUUUUCCUGAAAAGAAAAGGCUGCAAAUUUAUGGAUGACAUCUCAUUAAUUCCCAAGUUAUUCCUGGAUAAUACUAAGAAAUCUCAAAUAAUUUGUUGUGCAGCAAGUUCAAAUGAGUUCAGUGUUAUAUUAUUACUAAAUCUUGGAUUUGUGGGGAAAAUUUUGUGGCAAAUUUUAAUUUUUGCCUCAUACUUAUUUCUUAGCAGAAUUUUGGAUUUAAUUAUACGAUGAAGGAUUAAUAAUUGAUUAGAUUAUGGUUUUUGGAUAGAGUAAGUUGAUUUUAUUAAAUUUGAAAAUUUGAAUAAAUUGAAUGUUGUUGGAUUAGAGAUUUGGAUAUUUGGUUGGAGGUCUAUUGUUCAUAAUUGGUGCUUUUGUGGAUUGAAUGAUUGAUUGGAUUAAGGUUCUAGGAUAAAGGAAGUGGAUUCAGACAGUAUUUUUUGGUCUUGGAUAUGUUGAGUGAAUUUUUGGUUUUUCUUGACCUUUGUUAAUGGUGUUAAGGAACAAAGUCUUGAUAAGGGAGGCUGAGUAAUAUUUGAAAAUUUAUUUUAUAUUUGUGUUUCUAAAUCAACCAAGACCAUUAUUUUUUAGUAUUUUUUUAAUGCAUUAAUGUUGUGAAUCCAAAUUAGCCAAACAACAAGAAAAAACUGCAAUCUGAAAUGUAAAUCACAGGCAACACACAAGUUGCUAGAACAAAAAAAGACAAUUAAUGGAAUGAAAAUAUCAGUCUCAUUCCCAAAGCCCUGUUCCAUGAAGCAAACAUGGCUUUUAAGGUUUUUAAAAUGAAACCUUUAAGCCAUUAAAGGCAGAGCAUUUUUCUCAAGGACAAGAACUAGCCAUUAAAGCCAACUUUAUUUAUUGUUAAUUAUAUUUUUGAGAGUAUUGGCGUUUAAUAAAUCAAAUUCUUUAGUUGUAACUACAUUGUUUUUUCCCAUCUGGUGCAUGCCACUGCCACAACAGGAGGUCCACUACCAGUUCCCACAUUACAAUCAACAAAAUUAAUUAUAUGUUCAAACUUGUUUUUGAUUUUUAAUAGAAUCAAAACAACAGAAAAUACAUCUCAGUUGAUUCCAAGUUUAACUAGGGAUCCAAGAACAUAAGAAAGUAGCUCAGAACAGCAUUUUCUAAGAAAUUUGACCACUGCCAUGAUUACAUUUAUUAAGGAGUUCAAGGAUUCAAUAUUUUUUCUCAUAUAUUUUCCUCUAGCUUCUCGGCAUCCAGACAGAUUACCUAAAUCAACCUCUAUCAACAGUCAUAAUACUAAAUAAAUUGGCACAGCCCAAUUCCAAAUGGGUUUCAGAAUUAGACCAAUUGCAUCUAAACAAAACCAUGUUGAUUCAUCAUCAAAUCUUCUAGCUAAUCACAAACACAAGCAAAUACAACAACAGUAAUAACAAUUACGGGUCCGUUUGGAUGCUGAGAAAGUAGAAAAUAAAAAUUAAAGAAAAAACGUGAACUCACACAAAAACCCAAAUACCCGAUACCCACAUUCUUUGUAAUCUCAAACAAAAUCAGUAGCCUAGAAAUCUUUUCUCAAAAAUGAACUCAAACAAAAAAACACCCAAACAACUCCUCUAACAGAGCCUAGAAACUCAAUAUUCUAAGACGUCAAUUUCUUUUCUUUCCUUACCUUUUUCCCACCACCCAAGCAAAGCACAAAACCACUCUCGGCCAAAGAAAAGCCUUGCAAUUGCCCACCGUUUGGUUCCUGAGAAAACGAAAAGCAAAACAAAAGAAAAACCCUGGUGAGUUGACUUUUUUUAUUUCCGUUUCUGGGUUUCCUUAUACUCAAAAAUUGAAAGUGAAACCCCAAGUUUAUUUUUUUUUUCCCAAAUUUUCUCAGCAACCAAACAGACCCAAACCCAAAACACUUAGGGCAAAGCAUGAAAUAAGCAGAAUGUAACAAAUAAAGAUUUGUACUGCUUCUGAUCUCAAGGUGGAAACGCCAUAAAUAUAAAUAUGGGGGCUUUGAAAUGAAAUAUUUUGGGGGAUUGGGAUAGAUUUGGAAGGCUUUGUGAGGACUUUACCUUGGACUAGUGGGGCUUUUGUGCAGAUCCAGCCUCUGGAAGGUUCUUCACCUCAGGCGACGGCCUCCGAGACUAAUCCGGAUUUUCUGUUUGGGUUGGAUAAAGGGCUCGCUCCGCCUCCCCCCGUGAAAUUGCAGGAUCCAACGCCUCCACCCACGGUUCCAGAUGUGCUUCCCAAGGAUUAUUCAGUGAGAUCGGAUCCAGGAUCGGAGGAUCGCCAUGUUGUUGGAGAUCCAGUGGUGUCCCCCGCGGACUUCCAGAGGCAGAUCCAAAUGGAACAAUCGUCUGGUGACAAUGGCUGGUUCAAUGGUCAAAUUGAGGGUAAAUUAGUCUAAUAAAAAUAUAAGGCCUUUAGAAGAAUUAUCAAAUUUACCCACCAUUUUUAGUAAUUUUUUUCCCCAGCCUACCCUUAAGGGUAAUUCUCCCAAAAAUCAAACCCCUCCAUCACAAGGGAAGGGUCUACACAUAUCUAUUUAGUACAAUAAAAUAAAAUUUUCCUAUAUUAUGGUAGAAGAUGGUAGAGUACCAUCUAAAGAGAAAAGAAUUGAUCAUAAAAAUCAAAUAAAAUAAUAUAAAAACACUCCAAAUAAAAUUAGGAAAAACUUUAUAUAAGAGAGGAAAAUUAAGUUAAUAAAUUCGAAGUAGUAAAUAAAAGAAAAAUUAUUCAUUUUAAAUAUAAUUAUUUUUUUUCUUUCUACCAUUUCUCUCUAAUUUUUUUUCCCUUAUAUUUUCCUCCAAAUUUAUAGAAGCCAAAGCCAAGAAGGCCUAUGCAAGCUGAGAAAUGAUGUAAAAAGGGGAGAUGGAUCUAAUCGGACAAUAAAUGAAGUUGUGGACCCUGCAUUUUGCUCGAUGUUUUCCCACUCGAUGGCGAAAACUCGUUUUUUUUAUUUUGUUUGGUGAAAAUUUGAUUUUUAGAAAAAGACUUGGAGUCGCCACUUAUUUUUGUUUUAUUUUUAAAGGGAAAAACAAAAUAAGAAAGAAAAACCCUAAGUAUGACUCCUGAAGGAAAAAAACGGGUCUGUGAAAAACUGAGUCUAGGUCCGGGGGUUAGGUUACUCAUUGGGAAGGUACGGUGGUAAGUCGUAACACUCCUCUAAGCCCUUAUACGUACGACCUUUACUAAACGAAUUGAGGAAAUUGUGGCAAUUAAUUAUAGAUACCAAAAAAAAAAAAUCAAUAUACAAGUUAUGGUGAAAAUUAAUAUGCACAAAAACAAUGAUGAAAUCUAAUUACAAAAAUACACAAAAUAAAUAAUAAGAGAAUUAUGCAAAAUGAUUUAUUGAAUUAAAUAAAUAAAAUAUAUUAAAAAAUGUUUUAAAGAAAUUUCAAAGGAUUUUAUUAAAAAUGAUUUUGAAUUAAUGAUUUCCAUUUAUUUACUUAUAAAGAAGUAUCAAUUUAUUUUCUCAAUUUUAGUUGUAUUCAAUUUUCAAAAAAACUAUUUACACUUACUGCAUCAAAAGAAUUUAUUACAAAAUUUUAAUUUGGGCACAAAAAUUAAUUUUACUUGCUUUUACUAGAAAAUAAUGAAUUUUUACAAUUUUAUUUACAAAAGUAUUUAGAUUCAUUUUCAUUUAAAAGAGUGAUUUUUAUAAAUUAUUUAAAAUGACAUAACUUUAUUUGCAAAAUAAUUUUAAUUAAAAAGAAAAAUAAAUAUUUAAAUUCUCUAUUUUUGAAAAACACUUUUAAUCCCAUUUUAAUUAAGGAAAAAGAAUUCAUUUGAAAAAAUAUUUUUAGACAAUUUUAUUAAAAAUUAAUUUUUGGAACAACUUUAUUUACAAAACAAUUUUUGGACAAUUUUUAUUAAACAAAGAAAUUUUUUAACAAUGUCAUUAAAAACAAUUUUUCGAAUUCUAUUAAAAACAAUUUUUUUGGAUUUUUCUAAAUGCAUUUUUCUGAAUUUUUAUAAAUAAUAAAAAAAAACUUUCUUUUAUUAAAAAGAAUAUUUUAACAUUAGUAUUUUAUUAGAACAUAUUUACUGAAUUCUUCCUCUCAUUUAAAUAAAAUUUCUAAUUUAUUCGAUGUUUAAUUCUGUACACACUCAAUAAAUAUAUAUGAACAAAUAUUUACAAUAACUAAUUAAAAUAGAACCAAAUAAAAGUGGGAAAUAAAAUAUGUACCCAAAUAAACUUACAAUAAAUUCACGUAUCAUCAAUUCGUACUCAGCCAAUAAGAUUGCAGAAUGAGUCCAUGCAAAAACAAAAUAGCACAAAUGUAAAUAUCCAGAGAUAUAUAAAAUCCCAAACAAAUAUUCAAACCCAAAUUCCAAUUUCAAAUUAGUCUCAUAAAUUUCGUCAAUUAAAAUGAGCUCAAAUUACUAUAGGUCUUAACUCAGAAUAUCCAAAUUAAUAACCAAAAAUACAAACACAAUUAACCAAACCUAAAAUUGGAUAAAUUAAAAUAAAUUCUACUAGACCUAAAUUUAAUAUUUCAUAAUCUAUGCCUAGUUUAAUGUACACCACAAUUUUCCCAUGUCCUAAUUAAACAAUUCAAAUUGGCUAAGCCCAUAUCAAAUAUUCAAAUAAUCCAACAAAUCCCACCCACAUUAUGGGCCCCAAAAUUCACAUCAAUUAACAAGCUCACAUAAAAAAAUACAUGGUCAAGAGAAAUAAUAUUUCAAGCCCAAUCCAAUAAGCUCAAACAAAUAACAACUUAACAAUAGACCCAAGUCCAAAUAAGCAAUAUGCACUUGAUAUAAUCCAAAUAUCCUCAAAUUAAUCACCAAAUACAAUAUACCCAUAAACCCAAAUUAACAAAUUUCAAAUUAAUUCACUAACAAUAAAUUGAAUCAAAUUACGUAUUAAUCUACCAACAACAAAUUAACCCCAAAUUUCAUAUUAAUUCAAGAAUCCAAAUUUCACAAACAACAAUUACUAUUAAAAUAAAAUAAAAUAACAACAAUAACAAUAACAAUAAUAAUAAUAAUAAUAAUAACAAUAACAAUAAUAAUAACAAUAAUAAUAAUAACAAUAACAAUGAUAAUAAUAAUAAUAAUAAUAAUGGAAUGAGUGAAAAUGGGAGGGGGGUCGCUAAAUGGCAGUGGCUCGUCAACGGCGACUGGCCGAUGGUUUGCCGGCGGCACUGACAGAUAGUAAUAAUAAUAAUAAUAAUAAUAAUAGUAACAAUAAUAAUAAUAAUAAAUCAAAUAGAAUAGUGUUUGGAUCGAGAGAAAUGGAGGGAAAAUGAUGGAAAUAAAGAAAUGGGGUUCGGCAGGAGAGAAAAAAAAAAUGGGAAACAAAAAAAUAGGGGGAGUGUCAUUGGAAAAAGAAGAGAAAGGGAAGGAAAAAAAACCAAAACAAAAAAAUGGGGAAAAAGGGGCUGCUAUUGCCGUGUGAGAGUUUAGGGAGAAAAAUAGGAACAGAAAAAUAAGGAAGAGAGGAAUAAGGGGUUGGCCGAUCUUUUGGGAAUGGGUAAAGAGAGAGAAGAGAGAAAAAAAUUGGAGCCAAAAAAAAAACCCUCAGGUCGUCUCUCCAUUUUUUUUCGGGUAGUCCAGAGUAGAAGAAUUGGGGGGGGGGGGGGGGGGGGGGGGGGGGGAAAAGGGGGGCCCCCUUGGGGAAUGGGGGGAAAAAAGGGGGGGGCCAAAGGGGGAAAAAAAAAAGGGGGGAGGGGGGGGGGGGGGGGGGGGGGAAAAAAAAAAAAAAAAAAAAAAUAGGGGGGGGGGGGGGAAAUGGGAAAAAAAUUAAAAAAAUAAAAAAAAAAAAAAAAAAAAAAGAUUUAAUGGGGGCCCCCGUGGGGGGGGGUUGGGGGGAAAAAAAAAAAAGGGGGGGGGGGGGGGGGGGUUAAGAGGGAAAGGGGGAAGGGGGGGGGAAAAAAAAAAAAUAUUUAAAAAAANNNNNNNNNNNNNNNNNNNNNNNNNNNNNNNNNNNNNNNNNNNNNNNNNNNNNNNNNNNNNNNNNNNNNNNNNNNNNNNNNNNNNNNNNNNNNNNNNNNNGGGGGGGGGGGGGGAAAUGGCGGUCGUCCUUGGGAAUUGGGAGGAAAAAGUGGAUGGCCAAAUGGGGAGAAAAAAAAUGGGGGAAGGAGGGGGGGCGGUCGUGUGGGAAGAAUAGGAAGAGAGAGAGUAUGAGUGGGUGGGUGGAAAAUGGAAAAGAAUAUAAAAAAAUAAAAAUAAAAAUAAGAAAAGAGAGAUGAGAUGGCGGCCGAUGGUGAGGGGUAUGGGAGGAGAGAGAAGAAGUGGGUGGGGUGGUUGGGGAAUAGGAAGAGAGAGGAGAAAGGAGAGAGAAAAGAAAAAAUAAAUAAAAAUAAAAUAGAAUAUAAUAAUAAUAAUAAUAAUAAUAAUAAUAAUAAAAUAAAAAUAAAAGUAAUAGUAAUAAAAUAAAAUAAAAUAAUAAAAGCUAUUAAAUGGUGAGUGGACCAAAAAAUACAUGUAAUUGGAAUUUAAAAUUUUAUUGACAAAAUUGGGCUCAAAAUUAAUGUAAAAAUAAAAUUGGGACAAAUUUUGGAGUCUACAAAUAUGCCCCUCUUUAAUAGAGUUUAUGAGUAAAGUGAGUGUAUACACAAACGAAAUGAAGUGAACUUUGCUGAAGAACAAGAAAGACCACCAAAUUUGUCCUAGUAUGACAUGGGCUCUCUUAAAUGAUAAGGCUAGGGAAAAAUGACUUUGAAUGCCAAAAAAAGGAAAGAUGGUGACUCUAGGUGCCUGAAUGAGUAUGCACGACAACUCUGAACGCCAAAACUAAAGAAAGAAGAUGGCACUGAAUGCCAAGUUGGACAAUGGCUCUGAAUGCCAAAAUGAAGACACGACUCUGAAUGCCUAAAACUGAUAAAAGGAAUGGCUCUAAACACCUAAAACUGGAAAAGAUGGCUUUGAACGCUUAUGAAAGAAAAUUGUGGCUCUGAAUGCCAAAGGGAGAUCUGAAGGCCUAUAAUUCUAAACACCCAUGAAAGAAAGUAGUGGCUCUGAACACUUAAAGGGUGAAAACGACUUUGGGUCAUGAGCUCAAGGCUCUGAAUGCUAAGCUGACUAAUGGCUCUAAAUGCCAAGUUAACUGCUCUAAAUGUUGAACUGAAGAUAUGAUGACUUUGAAUGCCAAGCUGACCAAUGGCUUUGAAUGCCCGACCAUGAACGACGGCUCUAAACGCCAAACUAUGGACAAAUGGUGGCUCUGAACGCCAAACUAAGGAUAUGAUGGCUCUGAAAGCCAAACUGUUAGGAAAUGGUGUAUGUCUGACUGUGAACAAUGGAUCUAAAUGCCAAACUGUGAACAAUGGCUCUAAAUACCAAACUGCGGAGAGAUGAUGGCUUUGAAAGCCUAAAUGUGAACGAUGGCUCUGAACGCCAAACUGUAGAGAGAUCAUGACGGCUCUGAAUGCCAAACUGUGAACAAUGGCUAUGAACACUAAACUAUGGAGAAAUGAUGGCUCUGAACUCCUGAAUGUGGACGAUGGCUCUAAACACCUAAACUGUGGAUAAAUCAUGACGGCUCUGAAUGCCAAAUUGUGAAUGAUGGCUCUGAACUCCAAGCUGUGAGCGACGAACUCUAAAUACCAAACUAUGGAGAGAUGAUGGCUCUGAACGCCUGAAUGUGAAUGAUGGCUCUGAACACCUGAAUGUGGACGAUGGCUCUGAACGUCAAAUUGUAAGCGACGGGCUCUAAAUACCAAACUAUGGAUAUGAUGGCUUUGAACGCCUGAAUGUGAACGAUGGCUCUGAACGCCGAAAUUGGAAAUGCGGCUCUGAACAUCAAACUGAAAACCGAUGAUGGCUCUGAACGCCAAAACUGAGAAUGCGACUCUGAACGUCAAAUUGGGAAGUGAUGGUGGCUCUGAACACCGAAACUGAGAAUGCGACUUUGAAAGUCAAACCGAGAAGUGAUGGCUCUGAACGUCGAAAUUGAGAAACGGUGAUGGCUCUGAACGUCGAAACUGAGAAGCAAUGAUGAUGACUCUGAACCCGGAACUGAAAAAUGCGACUCUGAACGUCAAACUGAAAAUCGAUGAUCGCUCUGAACGCCGAAACUAAGAAUGUGACUCUGAACGUCAAACUAAGAAGCGAUAAUGAUGACUCCGAACCCCGAAACUGAAAAAUGCGACUUUGAACAUCAAACUAAAGGUCUAGCUCUGAACGCCAAACUGAAAAUGGCUCUAGAUAUCGAGCUAAAGACAAAUAACGGCUUUAAACGUCAAACUGAAGAUACGACUCUGAACGCCAAGAUGACGAUGUGGCUCUAAAUGCCGAACUGAAUGUGUGGCUUUGAAUGCCAAACCGAAAAGAGAUGGUGGCUCUGCAUGCCAAACUGGAAAGGGAUGGUGACUUUGAAUGUCAAACUGGGCAGAAAUGGUGGCUCUGAACACUGAAACUGGAGAUGCGGCUCUGAAUGCCGAAACUGUGAAACGAUGGUGGCUUUGAACAUUGAAACUAAGAAUUAUGGUGACUCUGAACGCCGAAACUGGAGAUGCAGCUCUUGAACGCCGAAAUAAAGAUGUGGCUCUGAAUGUCGAACAAAAAAAACAAGGAUCUGGAUGUCGAAAUGAAAAUGUGGCUCUGAACACCAAACGAAAAAUGAACGACAACUUUAAAUGCCAAACGAAAAAAGUGGUAGCUCUGAUGUCGAAAUGAAAAUGCAGCUCUGAACGCCAAACUGAAGAUGCGGCUCUGAACGCCAAAAUAAAGAUGUGGCUCUGAACGCUGAACAAAAAAACAAAGAUCUAGAUGUCGAAAUGAAAAUGUGGCUCUGAACUCUAAACGAAAAAAGAACAACGACUCUAAACACCAAACUGAAGAUACGGCUCUUAACGCCAAAAUAAAGAAAAAUGGUGUCAUCAAAUGCCAAAAUGAAAAUACAACUCUGAACGUCAAACUGAGAAAAGGUGGUGGCUCUGAACGCCAAACUAAAAAUGAUAUAAUGACCCUGAAUGUCGAACUAGGAACAUGGCUCUAAACGUCAAACUACGAAGAAAUGGUAGCUCUGAACACCAAACUAAAAAUAAUAGCUAUGAAUGCCAAGAGAAACAAUGACUCUGAAUGCCCAACUAAACUGAUAACUAGGAAUGUCAGGCUGAGAAAGACGACUCUGAAUGCCAUGACUAAGAAGACACGAUGGCUCUGAAUGCCAAGCUGAAAAUGGACGACUCUGUACGUUGUAUUCGAGAAUGGAUGGCGGCUUUGAACGCCAAACAGUAAGGAAACGAUGAGAGGGGGGAGGGGGGGGGAUAUGCCCUAGUGUAGCAUGCCGCCACAACUCUCUAUCCUCUAAGAAGGUAUAAAAGAGACUCCAUGAGCCUCAAGAGAUACUCUGCUAGUGAGUCGGAAUGAUCAAAUCGACUAUAAGCAUAGUCUCACAACCCAUCCGUCUGGAUCAUGAGGCCUGACGAGAUGUCACAAUGAGUCAGACGCCUCUAUCUCGAAAUGCUCUGCUGGAGGAAUUCAUAGUCAUCUCAAAUGGGUAAUCCACUAGGGAGUCUCAAGAGAAUAAUAUGCGAAGGUAACUACCACGAUCUCAUCAAAACAAUCUACUGCGAGGCCAUGGAUAACGGAACAAUCACAACUUGAAUGUCAUGCUCCACCGAAAGCUCAUCUCGAUAAAAAUCACAGGAAUAGUGACCAGUAAAGCAAAUACAGUAUCUCUCCGUCAAGUGAUGAAAACUGUAACAGAUCUGUGAAAGAAUGAUCAUCUCCAUAGCUAAAGGAAGGAAUAUGCCCCAGCAUGGCAUCAGAUGUACCCGAUCUAUCUUGAUAACUUAAGAAUAACUCCAUGGGGAUGCAUAAAAUAUCUGACAUGUACUCCACUAAAAUGGUGCUAUGGGAACCUAUGCGCCUGGAGUAACUCCACCCAAGAAUCACAACAAUAUCGAAAAAUAUGAGCCUGACUGAAAGACUCAAUAAAGGCUCCACUAGAGAAUCAGGACAAAAUGAAAUCAAAUCAUCAACCUGACGUGUAUCUCAUAACUAGGGAUGAUCAUGCAAAUCCAUGGAGAUCUACAAAUCUUGACUUAAAUGGCGAAUAUGCCCCAGUAUAGCAUUGAAUGUGUGACAGGUCAGAAAAAUCAAAUGACAUCAAAUCAUCAAUCAUCAACUAUGCAAUCCUGGUCACCCGAAUCCAUAACUGAAUCAUACCCACAGAUCCAAGAUGUACCUCUCGAAUGAAGAAGCAUGAUGGCAUCUAAGUGCUGAGAAGUGCGAGCCUAACUGGAUGGCUCCCGGGAUGCUCAACUAAAGAAACAUCAUAAAAAUAACGAACAGGUCAUCGUCUCGAUGAGCAUCCCAUAAGUGGGGAUGAUAACAUAGCUCUGUGAAGAUCUAUAACUCUCAUCCAAAACAGAAAUAUGCCCCAGUAUGACACCAGAUGUACGAUAGGUCAGAAAUCGGGUGACAUGAAAUCAUCCAUCAUCAAAUGCGCAAUCUCCAUAAUCCAAAUCAAACCCAAACAUCUAUGAAAUGUCUCCCGGAAUAAUAAGCACGACGACAACCAAAUGCCUAAAAAUGUAGGCUUGGUUGAAUAGAUCCAGAGAGGCUCCACUGAAGGAUCAUGAUAAAAUAAUGAACACGUCAUCGCCUCAGCGUACAUCUUGUAAGUAGGGAUAAGCAUGCAACUCCAUGAAGAUCUGUAAAUCUUGUCCGGGACGGAAAUAUGCCCCAGUAUGGCGUCGAAUGUACGGUAGGUCAGAAACCAAGUGACAUGGAAUCAUCUAUCAUCGAACAUGUGAUCUCCGUGAUGCAAAUCAAAUCCAAACAACUAGGGAACGUCUCCCAAGAUAAGAAACAUGACGGCAACCAAAUGCUGAGAAAUGUGGGCCUGGUUGGAUGGCUCCACAUAGGCUCCACUGAGGGAUCAUAAUAAAAUAACGAACGAGUCACUCAUCUCAGCGUACAUGUUGCAAGUGGGAACAAGCAUGCAACUCCAUGAAGAUCUAUAGAUCUCGCCCGAAAAGGAAUAUGCCCCAGUAUGACAUCGAAUAUGUGAUAGAUCAGAAAAAUCAGGUGACAUCAAAUCAUCCAUCAUCAAGCGCAUGAUCCCGGUAAUCCAAACACAGCUGAAUUAAAUCUAAACAUCAACGAGGCGACUCCCAGAAGAAGAAGCAUGACGAUAUCUAAAUAUUAACCAGAUCUCAAACACCUGUCCAAGUAGAGGCUGUCGAAGACGACAUCUGGUCCCAUGGCCUCAGGAUGGUCUUAAGACACGAGACGUAACGUAGGCCAAGGUGAUAGGGUGAUAGAAAUGAAAGAAAAUUAGGCUCAAAUACCCAAUGAUCAAAAACCCAUGCCCUCAUAUAUGAAAUGCAACAUGUAUAGUGAAUCCUGUGAGCCAUGGACCUAAGGAUGCCUAACGUGAAUAUGAUGUCGAUAAGGAGACAAAAAAAAAAAGCAAAAUGAACUGAUAAUGAUAUGUGUAAUGAUGAUGCGAAGAGAGUAUCAAACCCAAGAUGGGUUGUUGUAAGAAAAGAAUAAGACGUGAAGUGAAAAUGAUGAAUCAGAAACGAAAACGAGAAUGAUGAUGAAAUAAAUAACACAAAGAGGAGUAGUGAUCAACUCAAAUCAGACAUGGAGUGAAGUCACAUCAACAAUGAAUGUAAUGAUGGAAGGGACAAUGACCCAGAUCUUCUAAGAGAAGGUCACUCAUCUCGCUCUCAAAAUAUACAAUAAAAAUGAAUACAAAGAAUGGAGGGUCUCGGAAAGCUCACAUACGAACUCUCAUCAACAAACAUACUCAAUCAAGUGACCCUCGAACAUCAAUAUACACACUCAAUGAUAGAAAAUAAUACACACGUGUUUUUUUUUUUUUUUCAAAUUUUUUUUAACAUAUAUACAAAUGUACACACCCUGAACAUGAACAAAAUAAGCCUCAAAGAUUAUAUCAAUAAUGGAUGACACGCUCUCGAGCGCUAAAGUAACAAAAACUCUCUCUGACAAGAUGACCUUCUCAAACUAAGAAUCUCUGAACCAGUGUCCGUGGGAUAGAUAGUGGUAAUGAUGUGACUACCUUCCAUGUAAUGAACUGAGGAGGAUCACCACUCAAGGUGGAAAGAAUAUGAAGCAAAACAAGCAAUAGAUAGAAUAAAGAAGAAGAGAUGAAGAACAUAACCAAUGAGAUACGAUGGAAUGCAAUGAUGCAGUGAUGAAGAAAGAUAAUGAGAAGAAUGCGUCCCUAGGUCCAAAGCUCACGGAACUCCCAAACAAUGAAUGCAUACACUAAAGGGCCCUUAUCUCGGUGUGAAAAAUGUGAGCAAGGCGAUAAAAACGAAAGGUUGUAAUAUGCAUGCGAGGUUCAAUGGGCUAGCAACAGACGAUAUAUCAAAAGGGAAUAACAAGGUGUAUGGCUAACCGAAAUGAUGGCCACCCAUCCUACGACCAUGGUCUCAAACAUAGUACCUCUUUAGCUGAUCCACAUUGGUCGGCUCAGAGAAUUGGUUUCCAUCUAAUUGCAUCAACCAUGCAGCGCCCUCUAGGGUCAACUCCCUGAUGAAAUAAGGUCCGCUCUAGCUGGGUCUGAACUUCCAUCUAGGAUCUCUAAUCAAUCCUCUGAUGACCCUCAAGACUAAGUCACCUCUUUAUAAUGGUCAAUCAACAAUCUCUACUAUCUUCCUUCACCAGUGGGAGAUGAAGGAAGAAAUGGACUCAUCUAAUCUCUGUCUGAAACCCUUAAGCUCUCUCCUCGACACAUCUACGACAGUACUAAAUGAAAACUGUCACAAAAACUCCUAAGCUAGGUUGUCCCAUGUCCUGCGUCGCGAGGACUCCAAAAAUGUGAACUAAUGUUGGGCUGCACCACUCAGAGAUAAAAGAAACAUGGUGAUCAUCUGUGACUCGUCUAGCCUAUGGGCCCUCAUCACAGUACUAUAGAGUCAAAGAUGAAUACAUGGACAACCAACACCCAUGUACCUCUCAAUGUCAAGCAUCCUGAACUUGGCUGGUAGACUGGCCCCUGGUAUACUAUCAAGAUCAUCGCAAGCUGAUGAACUGUCAGAUACCCUCAACUGCCUGAUACACUACUCGAUACUAUCCAUACAUGCAUGAGUAUCCUCAAGGACUGUCUACUCUGCUGACUGUCUAUCUCCUGCCUGAGAUUGGCUAAGGCCUCCUAAAUAAAAGCCAUGGCAGCCGUGAACUGAUCAACUGUGACAACUCGCUGAUCCAUGUCUGAUCUCUCGGAAAAAUGAACUAAUCUUCCCUUUACUCUAACCUAAUAUGACAAAUCCACACUGAGAAUGAAAAAUCAAUCCUGAAGAGCAUGAAACACAAGAUACCUGAAUAGAAUCCAUGGCGUCUGUGAACUAGUCAAAUGUGACAGUCUGCUGAUUUAUGUCUGAUCUCUGGGAAAAUUGAACUAAGCUCCUUUAUACUCUAACCCAAGAUGGUAAAUCCACAAUGAGAAUGAAGAACCAAUCCUGAAGAGCAUGAAGCACGAGAUAUGGUAGGCACAGGGAAAACAUGGAAGAAAUGCUAGUCAGAAUUGGAAUGAGCAAGACAUAAAAAAUAGGGAAUACUGAUCUUGGUGCACUCUCACUAGAGACUAAAAGAGGGAAUACUGAAUCCCAACUAUGAUCAAAGAGGCUCUGAAGGCCCUCAGAUGCACCCACGUAUAGAGAGGGAGUCCUAAUCGAAGGAUCUACGGCUCAACCUACGAGGUCAAGGUGACUCUAAAUGGAUAUGGGUGGACUUUAAAAUAUCCCUAGCAGAAGCAAUCAUACCCUCCGGCGGUACGCAACCCUCUGCACGCCUCCGAAGAGACGGGGCGCUUCCAUGUAAUGUGGUCAUCACCUCCACACAUGCACUACCUCGACAUCCUAGGGGGUUUCCUAUGGUGAAACCUCUCAAAACUCUCAACUCUUAUGGUCAGCUAGAGUGCGCAGUGACGGUGUGGGUGUAUCCAAAAAUCCUAUGAAGUCAAAGUAGAAAAAAAGAAACACACUAAUCACACAAAUAUCCAUGAAACCUAGCUUUGGGCUAUACAGGUCUUCAAAGAUCGGACUCCUAUCAACAUCAACGUGUCGACCUCCUCCAAAAUGCUCCCAAACAUCGAUAUAGCCCGUCGCUAAACCCUACUCCUAACCGCUAGCUCAGUCGAAGAGCAAACAAAGUAACAAGUCUCAUAUCAAAUACGAGAUCAAGUGAAACAAGGUUGACCGAGUAUAGGGAGUUGGAGGUAAGGGGAUAGAUGUGUGUCCCACACAGACAAGCAAUACAUGCAUCACAUAAAAUAAUAGCAAUCAUGCACCAAACACUCAUGUAAAUAACAGGUAUAUAACUCAUAUCUACACACAAGCUAGGCAAGAAUAUGAUAAGCAAGAUAGGAAUAUAACAAGAAUAGACAAUAUGUCGAGAUAAACAAGAUAAUAUACAACAAAUAAAAUCAAUCAUGCCAAGAUGAAUGAGAUAUACAAAAAUGAGAAUAUACAUGUCCAGGAAAGCAAGAUAAUCAUACAACAAGAAGAGUCACUAUGCUAAAGUAGGUAAGAGAAUCAAUCGAUGUAAUCAAUAUGUGAACAUCUCCAAUGAACAAUAAUAACUAAACAAGCCUCAUGGAUAAACAUAUCAAAGCUCUCAACAUGUAAUCAACACCCAAUCAUACAAAAACACAUAAAGAGGGGUAUCCACUGAUCAACCAAUCAAACGCCACAUUUCUCUCAACUCGAGUUCAAGUUUGACCCUCUAAAAAAAAAAUUCCCCAGUGGAGUCGCCAUUUUGUGGACCCCGUAUUUUGCUGGAUACGUUCCCACUCAAUGGCAAAAACUCACUUUUUUUAUUUUGUUUGGUGAAAAUUUGAUCUUUAGAAAAAGACUUGGAGUCGCCACUUAUUUUUGUUUUAUUUUUAAAGGGAAAAACAAAAUAAGAAAGAAAAACCCUAAGUAUGACUCCUGAAGGAAAAAACGGGUCUGUGAAAAACCGAGUCUGGGUCGGGGGGUCAGGUUAGUCAUUGGGAAUGUAUGGUGGUGAGUCGUAGCACCCCUCUAAGCCCGUAUACGUACGACCUUUACUAAACGAAUUGAGGAAAUUGUGGCAAUUAAUUAAUUAAUUAUAGAUACAAAAAAAAAAAAAUCAAUAUACAAGUCAUGGUGAAAAUUAAUAUGCACAAAAACAAUGAUGAAAUCUAAUUACAAAAAUACACAAAAUAAAUAAUAAGAGAAUUAUGCAAAAUGAUUUAUUGAAUUAAAUAAAUAAAAUAUAUUAAAAAAAGGUUUUAAAGAAAUUUCAAAGGAUUUUAUUAAAAAUGAUUUUGAAUUAAUGAUUUCCAUUUAUUUACUUAUAAAGAAGAAUCAAUUUAUUUUCUCAAUUUCAGUUGUAUUCAAUUUUCAAAAAAGCUAUUUACACUUAUUGUAUCAAAAGAAUUUAUUACAAAAUUUCAAUUUGGGCACAAAAAUUAUUUUUACUUGCUUUUACUAGAAAAUAUUGAAUUUUUACAAUUUUAUUUACAAAAGUAUUUAGAUUCAUUUUCAUUUAAAAGAGUGAUUUUUAUAAAUUAUUUAAAAUGACAUAACUUUAUUUGCAAAAGAAAUUUUAAUUAAAAAGAAAAACAAAUAUUUAAAUUCUCUAUUUUUGAAAAACACUUUUAAUCCCAUUUUAAUUAAGGAAAAAGAAUUCAUUUGAAAAAAAUAUUUUUAGACAAUUUUAUUAAAAAUUAAUUUAUGGAACAACUUUAUUUACAAAACAAUUUUUGGACAAUUUUUAUUAAACAAAGAAAUUUUUGAACAAUGUCAUUAAAAACAAUUUUUGGAAUUCUAUUAAAAACAUUUUUUUUGGAUUUUUCUAAAUGCAUUUUUCUGAAUUUUUAUAAAUAAUAAAAAAAACUUUCUUUUAUUAAAAAGAAUAUUUUAACAUUAGUAUUUUAUUAGAACAUAUUUACUGAAUUCUUCCUCUCAUUUAAAUAAAAUUUCUAAUUUAUUCGAUGUUUAAUUCUGUACACACUCAAUAAAUAUAUACGAACAAAUAUUUACAAGAACUAAUUAAAAUAGAACCAAAUAAAAGUGGGAAAUAAAAUAUGUACCCAAAUAAACUUACAAUAAGUUUCACGUAUCAUCAAUUCGUACUCAGCCAAUAAGAUUGCAGAAUGAGUCCAUGCAAAAACAAAAUAGCACAAAUGUAAAUAUCCAGAGAUAUAUAAAAUCCCAAACAAAUAUUCAAACCCAAAUUCCAAUUUCAAAUUAGUCUCAUAAAUUUCGUCAAUUAAAAUGAGCUCAAAUUGGUCUUAACUCAGAAUAUCCAAAUUAAUAACCAAAAAUACAAACACAAUCAACCAAACCUAAAAUUGGAUAAAUUAAAAUAAAUUAUACUAAACCUAAAUUUAAUAUUUCAUAAUCUAAGCCUAGUUUAAUAUACAUCACAAUUGUCUCAUGUCUUAAUUAAACAAUUCAAAUUGGCCAAGCCCAUAUCAAAUAUUCAAAUAAUCCAACAAAUCCUACCCACAUUAUGGGCCCCAAAAUUCAUAUCAAUUAACAAGCUCACAUAAAAAAAAAUACAUGGUCAAGAGAAAUAAUAUUUCAAACCCGAUCCAAUAAGCCCAAACAAAUAACAACUUAACAAUAGACCCAAGUCCAAAUAAACAAUAUGCACUUAAUAUAAUCCAAAUAUUCCUAAAUUAAUCACCAAAUACAAUAUACCCACAAACCCAAAUUAAAAAAUUUCAAAUUAAUUCACUAACAAUAAAUUAAAUCAAAUUACGUAUUAAUCUACCAACAACAAAUUAACCUCAAAUUUCAUAUUAAUUCAAGAAUCCAAAUUUCACAAACAAUAAUUACUAUUAAAAUAAAAUAAAAUAACAACAAUAACAAUAACAAUAAUAAUAAUAACAAUAACAAUAAUAAUAAUAACAAUAACAAUGAUAAUAAUAAUAAUAAUAAUAAUAAUAAUAAUAAUAAUAAUAAUAAUAAUAAUAAUAAUGGAAUGAGUGAAAAUGAGAGGGGUCGCCGACCGGCAGUGGCUCACCGGCGACGACUGGCCGAUGGUUUGUCGGUGGCACUAACAGAUAGUAAUAAUAAUAAUAAUAAUAAUAAUAAUAAUAAUAGUCACAAUAAUAAUAAUAAUAAAUCAAUAGAAUAGUGUUUGGAUCGAGAGAAAGCGAGGGAAAAUGAUGGAAAUAAAGAAAUGGGGGCUGACAAGAGAGAAAAGAAAAAGGAAAACAAAAAAACAGGGGAAAUGUCAUGGGAAGAAGAAGAGAAAGGGAGGGAAAAAAAACCAAAACAAAAAAAUGGGGAAAAGGGGCUGCUACUGCCGUGUGAGAGUUUAGGGAGAAAAAUAGGAAUAGAAAAAUAAGGAAGAGGGGAAUAAGGGGCGGCCGAUCUUUUGGAAAUGGGUAAAGGGAGAGAGGAGAGAAAAAAAUUGGAGCAAAAAAAAAAAAUCCCUCGGGCCGUCUCUUCAUUUUUUUCGGGUAGUCCAGAGUAGAAGAAUGGGGGGAAGAAGAAGAAGCGGGAAAAAACAAAAAAAAAUGGAGGGGAAAAAUGGCGGUCGUUCUUGGGAAUUGGGGGGAAAAAGUGGAGGGCAAAAUGGGGAGAAAAAAAAUGGGGGCGGCGGCGACGGCGGCGGCCGUGUGGGAAGAAUAGGAAGAGAGAGAGUAUGAGUGGGUGGGUGGAAAAUGGAAAAGAAGAUAAAAAAAAAAUAAAAUUAAAAAUAAGAAAAGAGAGAUGAGAUGGCGGCUGAUGGUGAGGGGAAUGGGAGGAGAGAGAAUAAGUGGGUGGGGUGGUUGGGGGAGUAGGAAGAGAGAGGAGAGAGAAAAGAAAAAAUAAAAAUAAAUAAAAAUAAAAUAGAAUAUAAUAAUAAUAAUAAUAAUAAUUAUAAUAGUAAUAAUGAUAAUAAAAUAAAAGUAAUAGUAUUAAAAUAAAAUAAAAUAAUAUACAAAAUAAUAAAAGCUAUUAAAUGGUGAGUGGGUCAAAAAAUACAUAUAAUUGGAAUUUAAAAUUUAUUAAUAAAAUUAGGUUUAAAAUUAAUAUAAAAAUAAAAUUGAGACAAAUUUUGGGAUGUACAAAAAUGUUUGGAUAUUAGAAGGUCUAAAGUUUAGGCUUUUAUUAGUAAUAUUUCUAUGAAAAAACAAAAAAUUUAUCUUGCUUUUUUUAAAACAUUUUUUUCAAAAUUUUGAAAAUUUUGAGAAAGUAAAAAAUUUUUAAUCCUUAAAUGUUAAGUAUUUUAAAAAGUGUUUUCAAGUAAAAAAAAUAUAUGUACUUACUUUUGUAUAAGAAUUUUUAUAUUUUAUUCUAUUUUAUAAACAAAAAUAAAAAAUGUAUCCAAACAUAUACUAACUAAUUCUCUUUAAAAAUGUUUCUAAUGGAAAGGUACUAACAAAUGACUUUCAAAUAAAAAUGGUUUAAACAAAAUCACUCUCAAACAAGUCUAAGUUAUAAUAAAUAUUUUUCACCAAAAUGAUUUUUAUUUAAAGAAGAAGCCUCAAAAUGAUUUUAAUUUAAACUCAUUUCAUUUGUAAUCUUGUAAUCCCAUGCCCUAAAUGUUCCCAUUCAUCAAUUCCAUUGGUAAAAUUUUAUUAGAAUUAAUAAUUAUUAAAAAAAUUAAAUUCAAAACCUUUUUUAAAAAUCCCACUGUUUAUAUUGUAAUUUGGAUAGUCAUUUCUAAUAAAAAAGAUAUUAUCAAUAUUUUAUUUUUAUUUAUUUUCAUUUUGGUGAAAUUAUAGAAUUACGUGAAUUUUUCUUCUUAAAAUAAAAAAAAUAUUAUAAAGAAAAUGGGGGAAAGCUAAUACGCUAGAUGAAAAUAUAUGGAUUAAUAUGUGCAAUCAAUUUGCAUAAAAUUAAAAUUCUGAUUAUUUUCAUUUUUAUUGUUGUUAUUUAAUCAAAAUAACAAUAAGCGGAAUGAAAAAAAGAAACGUGAGAAUUAAAAAUUCUUCGUGGAAAAUGCUAGCUAGUUGUACUAAUAUUUCAUAGUGGGAGGCUAUAUUUGUUCGCCAUUUUUUCCAAAGAACUUUAUUAAAGGUGAUGGUGAUGGUGAUUAUUUUCCACAUAUAUCAUCAUGUGUCUUGUGCAUGAUUAAAUCUUUAUUCUUGUACUGGAAUAUCAUAUUGAUCUAAGAAAUUUAUAAUUAUAAAAAGAAUUAAAUUUUGUGGCUUAAAAAUGAGGAUUACCUAUUUACCCCUCUAGAUAGUUUCAAGAAUUAAGAUAAAAACUUUUAAAAAUCAUAUCAAGUUUCAUGGUAAAAUAUCAUCAACCCUCCAAAAUGUUAAAAGACUUAAAAUUUUAUCAAAAUAAAAAUUAUUUUUUAAUAAUAUAAAAUAGAAUAAUCCUUUUGAUAGAAAGUGGCACUCUAAAGAUUUUCAUUGAAAAUAUCAUCCAUUAGGCAUUGUGCCCCAAUUUUUUCUAUGGAAGAUGCCAACUGGUUAUGCUAAAAUUUCCAAGGUGGGAGGCCAUAUUGUCUGCCAUUUUAUCCCCAUUUUUUCUUAUCAGAGCGCCACUUUAAUAGAGGUCAUAGUGAAGAUGAUGGUGGGUACACUAAAGUCCACUUUAUUAAAGGUGAUUGUAAACAUGAUAAUGACUUUUAAAUGAUUUAAGCUCUUCGAUAAGGAAAAACUAUACAUCAUAUAUCAUCACGUCUUAUGUAUAAUUUGAUCUUUAUUCUUAUGCUUGGAUAAUAUACUUUGAUUAAAGAAAUUUAUAGUUAUGAAAAAAAUUAAAUUUUGUGACUUAAAAAUAUAAAUUACUUAUUUACUCCCUCCAAAUGGUUUAAAGAAUUAAUAAAAACUUUUAAAAACUAUACAGAAUUUCAUGGUAAAAUAUCAACUCUCAAGAAUGUCAAAAGACUUAAAAUUUUAUCAAAAUAAAAACUAAUUUUCAUUAAUACAAAAGAGAAUAAACUUUUUUCUUGGAUAGAAAGUGAUACUUAGAAGAUUUUCAAUUAAAAAUAUUAUACCAUAGGCGUUGAUAGAAUGUUAGCUAACAUGUUUAUCAAGGAUUUAAUUUGUGAAAAAUGAAUAAAAAUCAAUUAACUAAUUGAUAGGACAGUUGAAAGUGCAUUUGAUAAUGAUUUUAAAAAAUGUUUUUAGUCUUAAAAGUAUUUUUAAAAAAAAUUAAAUAUGAUAAAAUUUAGACAAUACUUUUAAAAAUAUGAAAAAUCUCUUGUAAUUGUGAAAAAUCUUUUACAAUAUUUUUCAAAGAAAUACUUGAUAGAAGAUUAUCUUAAAAACUAUUUUGAAUACAAUAUUUUCGAUAAAAAUGCUUCUACUAAAAAUAGUACCAAAUACACUUCUAAUAAUUACAUUUCCCACAAAUUUUCUAGAAACCAAACAUAUUAAUGGGAAUAAGGGAACAUGAAGCACCCUCUCCAACGAGAAGUUGAAGCCAAUACCUAUACCUUCUAAACCAACUCCUCUCUUCUGCUUGAUUCAUCGUCUCAAAGCUCUCCACACUCAUCAUUUCCCUCAAAACUAGUUAUUAAUCCUCUUUGACAAAACCAUGGGCAACAUUUUCUCCAUUUCAAUCUCCGUUGACCACCUUAUCUCUAGUUGCUGGAAUCGCACUACUGAACAUGCAAAUUACCUGUGCAAACUCCCAGAAAAUCUGGUAGCUCUGGGAACUGCUUGUGAAAGAUUGAGGGAGUUCAGGAACGAUGUGAUGAGGAGGGUGGAUAUCGCUGAGAGGGAACAAAUGCAGCGGCUCGACCAAGUACAAGGGUGGCUUUCAAGGGUUGAAACUCUGGAAACUCAAGUCACUCAACUGAUUGGAGAUGGCACCGAGGAGGUUGAGAAGAAAUGUAUGGGUGGUUGCUGUCCUAGGAAUUGCAGGACCAGAUACAAGUUGGGGAAGAGAGUAGCUAGAAAGUUGAAAGAAGUGGACAUUCUAAUGAGCCAAAGACCUUCGGAUGCGGUGGCUGAGAGGUUACCUUCACCUCGCCUAGGUGAAAGGCCUAAUCAAGCAACUGUCGGCAUGAAUUUCAGAAUUGGUAAGGUUUGGAGCAGCCUUCAUCAAGAACAAGUGGGAAUUAUCGGCCUAUAUGGAUUAGGAGGAGUUGGGAAAACCACCCUCUUAACCCAAAUCAAUAAUGCUUUUACCAAAAGAACAGAUGAUUUUGAUUUUGUGAUCUGGUCAACAGUUUCCAAAAAUGUAAACCUUGAAAACAUUCAGGACGACAUCUGGAAGACGAUAGGGUUUUGUGAUGAUAAAUGGAAAAGCAAAAGUCGAGAUGAGAAAGCUAAGAGCAUCUGGAGAGUCCUGAGCGAAAAGAGGUUCGUGCUGUUGCUAGAUGAUUUAUGGGAGUGGUUGGAUUUAUCAGACGUCGGAGUCCCAUUCCAAAAUAAGAAAAAUAAGAUAGUAUUCACCACUCGAUCAGAAGAGGUGUGCGCUCAAAUGGAAGCGGAUAAGAAGAUCAAAGUGGAAUGCCUAACAUGGACAGAAUCCUGGGAAUUGUUUCGAAUGAAGCUUGGAGAAGACACUCUCGAUUUCCAUCCUGAGAUACCGGAGCUCGCUCAAGCCGUCGCACAAGAGUGUUGUGGUUUGCCACUUGUGCUAACUACCAUCGGCAGGGCCAUGGCUUGUAAGAAGACGCCGCAGGAAUGGAAAUAUGCAUUUAAAGUGUUACAAAGCUCUGCCUCAAAAUUUCCAGGUAUGAGUGACAGAGUGUUCCCUCUUUUAAAAUACAGUUAUGAUUGCUUACCCACCGAAGUUGUCAGAUCUUGCUUCUUGUAUUGUUCUCUAUUUCCAGAAGAUUAUCAGAUACCAAAAAUAGCUAUGAUAAAGCGUUGGUUUUGUGAAGGCCUUUUAGACGAAUUUGAUGACAUGAAGGGAGCAGAAAACCAGGGUUACAACAUUAUUGGCACUCUGAUUCAUGCAUGUCUAUUAGAAGAAGGUGAUGUUGAUUAUGUAGUAAAACUGCAUGAUGUAAUCCGUGAUAUGGCAUUGUGGAUAGCUUGUGAAACAGGGAAGGAGCAGGACAAGUUCUUGGUGCAGGCCUCCAGUGGGUUAACUGAAGCUCCUGAAGUUGCUAGAUGGAUGGGACCAAAAAGGAUUUCACUUAUCGGUAACCAAAUUGAGAAACUAACAGGGUCUCCUAAUUGCCCCAAUCUCUCAACUUUGUUUCUUCAGGAUAAUAGUUUGAAGAUGAUCACUGAUAGUUUCUUCCAGUUUAUGCCAAAUCUAAGAGUUUUAGACUUGUCAAGGAAUGCUAUGACUGAAUUACCACAGGGAAUCUCUAAUUUGGUUUCAUUACAGUAUCUCAACCUAUCACAAACUAACAUUAAAGAGUUGCCAAUUGAGUUGAAGAACCUGGGUAAAUUGAAAUUUUUGUUGUUGCAUCGCAUGAGACUUUCUUCAAUUCCAGAGCAGUUGAUAUCAAGUCUUUCAAUGUUGCAAGUGAUUGAUAUGUUCAACUGUGGAAUUUGUGAUGGUGAUGAAGCCUUGGUUGAGGAAUUGGAGUCCUUAAAGUACUUGCAUGAUUUAGGUGUCACUAUAACAAGUGCCUCUGCUUUCAAAAGGCUUCUAAGCUCUGACAAGCUAAAAAGUUGCAUUUCCGGUGUAUGCCUCGAGAAUUUCAAUGGUUCAAGCUCUCUCAAUUUAACAUCUCUCUGCAAUGUAAAGCGUCUCCGUAACCUCUUUAUCUCAAACUGUGGCUCGUCGGAAGAUUUGGAGAUCGAUUGGGCUUGGGAAGGAAAGGAAACAACAGAAUCUAAUUACCUUAACUCAAAGGUCAGUUCCCACAGCAGUUUCCACAACCUUUCGUGGCUAAGAGUCAAAAGGUGUUCGAGGUUGAAGGAUCUAACAUGGCUUGUUUUUGCUCCAAACCUUAAAGUUCUUUUAAUAACUAGUUGUGAUCAAAUGCAAGAAAUAAUAGGUACCGGUAAAUGUGGUGAAUCUACAGAGAAUGGCGAAAACCUGAGUCCAUUUGUCAAACUCCAAGUACUUACGUUAGAAGAUCUACCACAAUUGAAGAGCAUAUUUUGGAAAGCCCUGCCAUUUAUCUACUUAAAUACAAUCUAUGUAGAUAGUUGUCCACUUCUAAAGAAGCUGCCACUCGACGCCAACAGUGCCAAGGAACAUCGGAUUGUCAUUUCCGGACAAACCGAGUGGUUUAAUGAACUAGACUGGGAGAAUGAGGCAACUCACAACGCUUUUCUUCCAUGUUUCGUACCUAUUGAAGAAUAAGGGCCUGCAGCAAUCUCAGAGAGGCUACAAUGCGAUUCUCGGUGAGACCCUUUUCACAAUUAACUAUCAUUUGAUCCUGAAUAGGUAUUGGUCCAAAUAAAGCAUUCAAUUAUAGCAUCUUUUCAUGGUCGUAUACCUCCCACGUACUGCUGAUACACUUAAAAAAAUGCUAUUCCAUUUCAAACAUGUAAGGCAAUUGAUUGCGGGUUUACAAGGAGUCAUCUUGUUAUUGGAAUUCAAAAUAUACAACUUUUAUGGUUAUGUUUUCUUCUUAAAAAGUAUUAAUAAAAGAAAAUAAAUAUUAAUGAAAAUGAUUUUUUCAUAUUAUUAUAUUAUCAAAAAUAUAAAAGAAAAUAAAAUUAGUUUGAAAUUUACAUAUUUUUUAAAUUGUUUAAUUUUUAUAUUGAAGAGUUAAAAUAAAUAAAACAAGUUAGAAAUAGCAUAUAAAAGUAAUCUAUUAAUUUUAAAUUUAUUUUUUAAUUUUUUUCACUUUUUUUUCCUUGUAUCUUUCCUUUCUAUUUUCUUUUCAUUACAAUUUUUCUCAAAUUUUCCAAGAACCAAACAUAACCUACAUAUAAUGAUCAAAUAUAAUCUUACAAACCAACCCAUAUAAAAAUUUAAGUCCAUUCUUGUGGCUUUUCUAAUUUGGUUUAAUAAGUCAAUAGUAUAUAUUCUUAUACAAUCUUAUUUUGUUUAGUUGCAGAAUAUAACCUCAUAUGCCAUAAAUGCUUCCGCAAUCUUCAGUUAAUGAGAAUCCAUUGUUUUCCAAGGUGAAGGAUAUGGAUGGCUUAAUUUUCAUGCCAACUUUUCAGUAUGUUGAUGACAUUGUAGGCUACCGAAAUGGAACAUAUAAUUGCUUAUAUAUGUGAGGUAAACAAUUGGUUUAUGUAUGUUGUUUCAUAGUGUUUGUGUGCAUAUGUUGUUUCUCUUUGAAUUGCAAUAUUACAUUUUUUGUAUUCUAAGGAUUGUGAGAUGCAUUUUAUGAUUUGUGUAAAAAUUUUGAGUUGGAUGGCUUUCCUUAAUUGCUUUACUUCAAUUGAAGAGCAUGUACAUAAUAUCUUUGAUUGGAAACAAUCUAAUGUAUAAUUUAAAAAAAUAAUCAUAUUUUCAAAUAGAAAAGAUAGAUGAGUUAGGGUACUCCUAGAUCAACUAGGAAUUGUAUCUUUGUUUAUGGAGAAGCAAGCAUUCUUGAGAAAAAAAAUCAAGUCCCUCUUUGUACAAAAAUUUUAGGGGAGAACUUGCCCAAGUCAUGGGUAGACCAUAAUUGGGGCACCUUAGCUAAGGGUCCCAUUUGGUUCCCUAUCUGUGUUUAUCAAAUGUGCCUUUUCAUAAUUGUAAUGGGAAUGGAGUGUGGGAUUUAUAUAACAUUAAAGCAUGUAUUCCUUAAUUUUGCAAUAUGUUAAAGAGGAUGAAACAUUUUUUAUUUGUUGCAAUUCAAGAGCAUGUACUAAAAUGCUCUCUCCAUGUGUUCAAAAUAGAAGAACUCAUUUAUCUUAUGCCCUAUAAAACUUUUUUCAAAAUUUUGAGAAAGUGAAAAAUUUUCACUUCUUGAAAUUUUUAAAUUUUUUUUAUAAAGUGUUUUCAAGCAUAUAAGGUAUUUACUUGUUUUUGUAUAAUAAUUCUUGUAUUUUAUAUAAGACUUCCUAUUUUAAAAAUAAAAAAUAGAAUAUGUAUCCAACCAAGUGAUUCUCUUAACAAAAGUACUAUAAAUAAAAAUACUUUAACGAGAGUCACUCCCAAACAUGUUCUAAGUUAUAUUUUCUAAUGGACUAGCUUUUCUAUCAAAAAAGUUAUUGAGUAGACAAUAAUUUAUAAAAUGCAAAACAUUUUUACUCUAUGGUAAUUUUUAUUUAUCUUUUUCUGUUUAAUAUCCACCUCUCAAUAUCUUGGUAUUUUAAACGAAGGAUAUAAUUUUAUUAGUUGUGCACAUGACAUUAUCUUAUAUAUCCAUGUAAGGUUUUUUCUAAAAUAAGUAAUUAAAAAUUUCAUUAUUAAAAAAAAUAGAAUCAAUAAUAUCUUAUUUUUAUAUAAUACCAAAAUUAACAAAUUUCUUACCAUUUAUGGUUCAUAUAACAAGAAAUAAAUAAGUAAAUGUGUGAAACUAAUAAAAAUAAUUGUUAAUUUAUGGUAAUUAUUUGGAAUAUAUUAAUAUUUAACCGAUGGAGCAUUAGCUUAGCUUAGUUAGAUCAUUUUACCCAACAUAAGUUUUUUAUUUAUUAUUUUAACAUACUAUCAAAUCACUUUUUUUUUUGUUUAUAUUCAAAUAGUAAGUUAUUCUAUUUUAAACUAUUUCUAAUGUAACCACUAUUUAAAAACACUUUUAAAAAUCUCAAAAAAUAACUUGAGGUGAUUUGUAAACAAUCACUUGAUAUGAUUUUCUUAAAAAUCAUUUUUUAAUAAAAUAAUAUGUUACAAAAAAAAAAAUACUAUCAAAACAUUUUUUUUAAUUUAUAUUUAUAGUUAUGGAUAUGCUUCCUAUCUAUAUACAAAAUAUAAGAACUCUAAUGUAUAAAACAAAAUUUUUAUCUUGUGUCUUUAAAACUUUCUUCACAAUUUUGAAAAUUUUGAGAAAGAUAAUUUUUUUAAUCCUCAAAUUUUAAAAAGUAUUUUCAAGUAUAUGAGGUAUUUAUUUUUUUUCUAAGAAUUUAUAUAUUUUAUAUGAGACUUUCUAUUUUAAAAACAAAGAUGGGAAAUGUAUACAUACAUAUAAGUAAUUCUCUUUAAAUAUAUUUAUAAUGAAAUCAUAACUAACAAAAGUAUUGCAAAUAAAAAUACCUUAAGUACAAUUACUCCCAAGUGAGUUCAAAGUUAUAAGAAAUAUUUUUGUCAAUAUUUCAGAUCACCAAAAGAAACUAUAAAGGAUUGCAAUAUUACGAAAAAAUUAAAAAUGAUUUUAGUUUAAGCUCUUCAUUUGCAAUCUUGCAAUCUCAUGCCCUAAAUGUUCCAAUUCAUCAAUUUCAUUGGUAAAAUUUUAUUAAAAUUAAUGAUUAUUAAAUAAAAUAAAUUUAAAACCUUUUCCAAAACCAUAUUGUCGAUCCGAGAAUGCCAUGAACAACAUUGUUGAGUAUGAGGCUUGUAUCUUGGGAUUAGAGACAGCCCUCGAGCUCGGUAUUAGACAGAUGGAGGUGUUUGGUGACUCCAAUCUGGUGUUGAGACAGAUUCAGGGUGAGUGGAAGACUAGAGAUGGGAAACUUAGACCUUAUCACGCAUAUUUGGAGCUACUGGUCGCGAGAUUCGAGGAUUUGAGAUACACACAUCUGCCUAGAGCGCGGAACCUGUUUGUUGAUGCCUUAGCUACUCUAGCUUCCAUGAUUGACAUUCCUGCUGACGCCACUGUUCGUCCAUUAUUGAUCGAGUCGAGAUCUGCUUCUGCUUACUGUUGUCUGAUCGAUGAUGUAGAGUCAGAUGAUGGUUUGCCAUGGUAUCACGACACAUAUCACUUUUUGAGGCUUGGCGUAUAUCCUAAGGCCACUACGACCAAGGAUAGGAGAGCAUUGAGACAGUUAGCCGCCCGAUUCGUGAUUUGCGGCGAGACACUAUAUAGACGAUCACCUGAUGGGAUGCUGCUAUUGUGUUUGGACCACGCCUCUGUCGAUAGAGUGAUGCGAGAGGUUCAUGCGGGAGUAUGCGGACCACAUAUGGGAGGACAUAUGUUGGCCUGUAAGAUCAUGAGGACCGGCUACUUCUGGUUGACCAUGGAGACGGACUGCUGCCAGUUCGUUCAGAGAUGUCCCGAGUGUCAGAUACAUGGAGAUCUCAUUCACGUGCCGCCCUCCGAGUUGCAUGCACUGACUUCACCAUGGCCAUUUUCAGUGUGGGGUAUCGACAUCAUCGGGAAGAUUUCGCCGAAAUCUUCCAGUGGUCAUGAGUUUAUCCUUGUCGCCAUUGAUUACUUCACCAAGUGGGUGGAGGCCGCUUCGUAUGCGAGAUUGACAUCGUCUGGAGUUGCUAGUUUCAUCAGAUCACACAUUAUUUGUCGCUAUGGAGUCCCUCAUGAGUUGAUUUCGGAUAGAGGGGUACACUUUAGGGCAGAGGUUGACACUUUGGUGCAGCAAUAUAGCAUCCGACAUCAUAGGUCGUCUGCGUACAGGCCGCAAACGAACGGGGCAGUGGAGUUGCCAUUUUGUGGACCCCGCAUUUCGGCUCAUGCGUUUCCCACUCGAUGACGAGCUCAAUUUUUCAAAUAAAAUCGAGCUCGUCAUCGAGUGGGAAACUCAUGAGCCGAAAUGCGGGGUCCACACAUAUCCAUUUAAAACAUUUUCAUAUCAGGGAUCUCUAGUUUUGCCUCAUGCUUCUCUUUAGAAUUUUAUUUUUAUUUUUUCAACAUGUUUACUUAAAGUUCCAAAUCCAAUAAUGGUGAGAAAAUAUUCAAUUCUAAAAACCAUUUCCAUAUUCAUAUUUUCAUAUCUGUUUUAUCCUUUUAAAUAAAUAAUCCUAGGCUUUGGCAUCAAUUAAUUAAUCUAUGUUUUGCCCAAUUACCAAGUUGAUUGCAAAAAUAUGCUACACUCAUAAGUCUAAAAUAUGCUUUUGGUUUUUCAGCUUUCUAUUUCACUCCAAUUUUGCCAUCUCAAGUUUCAAAUAUAUAGGUGAAAGAAAAAAAAAAUGCAUAAUUUAGUGUUAGAUUGGAAAUAUAUUUUUUCAAUAGUGUUAACUUUUAUAUAAAAUAUUAUAACUUUUAAAAAUUUACGUUUAAAAGCUAAUAAUUUUUAAAAACUACUAAAAAAAUUUGAGAUAUUAAAAGGUUUUACUUCUCUAAUUUUAAAAUUUUGAAAAUUAAUUUUUCAAGAUAUAAUUUAAAACUUUGUCUAGAUAGAUUUCCUUUUAAAAAAAAUAAUAAAUAGUAAUAACUUCUAAAUAAAAUAUAAAACAUUUUAGAAGUUUUCAUUGAAAAUCUUAUGAUUUUUAAAAAAACCAUUUAAAAGAAUUGAGAUAUUAAAAUGUUUUACUUUCUCAAAUUUAAAAAUCUUUUAGAGCCUAUUUGGCCAUGCUAAUGCUCAUUUUUAAAAACUGUCUUGACUUGAAAUUUUUUUUUUUUUGUUUUUUAGUGUUUUAUAAAAAUAUGGGUGUUUGACAAGCUGUUUUUGAAAUCAAUUUUUAAAAAUAAAAAAUAAAGAACUUGUUUGGAUAAUUUUUUUAAAAUUUUUCAAAAGCAUUAUAAAUUCAAUUUAUAUAAUAUAAAUUUAAUUUAAUUUAUAUUAUAUAAAUAUGAUGAUUUUAUAUUUAAAAAAAAACCAUUUAAAAGAAUUGAGAUAUUAAAAAGUUUUACUUUCUCAAAUUUAAAAAUCUUUUAGAGCCUAUUUGGCCAUGUUAAUGCUCAUUAUUUAAAACCGUCUUAACUUGAAAAAAAAAAUUGUUUUUUAGUGUUUUAUAAAAAUAUGGGUGUUUAACAAGUUGUUUUUUAAAAAUAAAAAACUUGUUUGGAUAAUUUGUUUUUAUUAUUUUAUUUUUUUCAAAAACAUUAUAUAUUCAAUUUAUAUAAUAUAAAUUUAUUUUAAUUUAAGUCUUACUUAAAUGAAAAUAUUUCUUAAUUACAAAUAAAUUUAAAAAUAAAUAGUUUUUAGGAAAAUAUGAAUAGUAAUGAUACAAUAAAAUUAUUAAUUGUAUUUUUUUUAUAUAAAAAAGAUACUAUUUUAGUCUAUGCUAGAAACAUAAGGAUAUUAAUAUCUUAUUUAUUAUCAUUUUUUAUUAAAAAUGAAUUAUAAUAGUUUAAAAAUAAUAAUUAUUAAUAAUAUUUUAUUUUAAAUAAAUAAUGAAUAAAGUUUUAACAUGUAUAUGAAUCAAUUUUUUCAUUCUAUGAACACAUAUAGAAUGAACUUUCUGAUAUAAUAUACCUAAUUAUGAAUAUAAUAUUCUAAAACCUCCAUCGCCUCAUUUGAGGUUUUGAACUUUCUGAUAAAUUCGAAUCAACAACAAUAGAAUUGCUCUUUCAAUAUCAAAGGCUCCUUUUGGCGUCAAUAAACCGCCAGUUAGUUAUUGAAACAACACGUUCAUACACAUAUCUAAGUCUUAUUGGAAUGGAAUACAAGUUACCUUCAAGUAAGGUUUUUGCUUACACAUUUACACAUUUACACAUUUUCUAUCUCAAACUGUUAGUGAAAGAUACAGGGCAAACCUACAUUCAAAUGAUCUGAGCCUGUCAUGUACAAUCCAAGCUCAAAAGUCAAGCUUAAGUUAUAAUUCACACGAAAGAGCUGGUCAGCGCACCAAGCCCAAGAACAAUGAUAAGACUGCCAUUUACCAACCUGACAUAAGCUUGAUAUCUCACAUGGAGAACUUACAAGGUGGGUAAGCAUUUGUUAAUUGACACCAAUCAAUCCUGAUACAGAAGAUGGACAUCUCACAUGAAGGGCAUAAGGUGAACCCCUAGGAUCUUGUUGAGCAAAUUGGACUACACUCCAAUCAAGAGCUAAGAUCUUACUAUACCAAUUCAGGUUAUCCUGAUCACGUGUUAGUGGAGGAAAUGUUGUUGAUUUCCAUUUACAUAACUUUGAUUUAGUAGGUUUGGUCUAAUUGGGGUGUAAUAUACGUUAUACAACGGGGAAAGGGAGUGCGAUGAGGUAGUAAAAACAGGACACAACUUGUGAAAAAGGGUCCAAAGUGGAACCCCUUUUUAAGGCUUUUAAUCCUCUGCAGCUUUGCUGAAAUACUAUAACCCAGAUUACUGGUACACAAGCGUUACCAAAAACCAUCAUUUCUGGUGGAUUAUUCCUACCCUUCAUUGAGGGAAGUCUAACCCUGCAGACAAAUACAACCUAGAUGGCUGAUUUUCUAGCUUCCAUUAAUGGGGAGAUUUUCUCUCAACAUUCACUGACCAUUCUAAGUGGGUAAAAAUUAGAAGUUAAGAGACAUCCUACAUGAUGAAUUAGUCAUGCAGAACAUAAGUCCAGGGAUAUUAUCAAGUACUUUAGGGUCCUUUAGGUCAUGGAAACUACUCGAGAAAGGAAAAAAGAAAAAAGAAAAAAUUAUGAAGGAACAUGUAUUCUCUUGCUUGGUUUGCCAAGGAAAAUUUUGCUUUCCCUUUUUCAUCCUUAUUUUCUUAUUGUCAUACUUCCCCUCAAACUUUUCAUGAUCUAAACAGAAGUUUGACUUAUUUAAGAAGCUACCUGACAAGUAUUUCCUUUCCACAAUUGUUUAUUCAACCAAUGAGGCAUUUUUUCCAUUACUCAAUUCUCAAUCUAGUUUCUUUUACACUAACCCUCAAGAAACAAAAUAACACAUAAGCGGGGCUUAUUUUUCAAUAUAAAAAUUCUCUACCAAGAUAUCAGACGUCUAUGAAUUGAAAAUUUAGAACAAUAUUUUCCAAAUCACCCGUGGGGAUCCAUGAUAAGAUAAAUUAGUUACAUUCUCAUGCUUCUUUACGAACCUUUUUCAACAGACUGAGCCCAGUUAAUGCUUGAUCUGGCCAAAGCAUCCAUCAGAUCAAUACAUUUCCUAAGCAGAGGAUCAUCCCGAGGCAAAAGAUCACGCAUGUCAUCAGAGCCAAGGAUGACAGUGUUCAUAGCCCUCGCCAGAAGAACUUGCAUUGCAAUUCUUAGCAGAUUCCUUGCCACUUCCAUGUCCUUUCGAUUUAAAGAUUCAAUUGCAGAAAUUACAGUGUGCUCCAUUGUUGCUUCAUCUGGAACAACAACCUCAAACCCCUGCAUACAUAGAAUUUAGAUUGGAAGGAAUCAAUGUAUUUACGGAUGACAGAAAUGAAAACCGUGCUAAAAGGUAUAUAGUGAGUUGAUGUGGUAACUAAAACUAAAACAGGUUGCUUUUUUCUCUCAAUUAAAAGCAUCUUUCAGAACUUCAGAACUCCCAUAGAUUCAUAUGGAACAUCAUUAUAUAUAUAUAUGUAUAUAAGCAUGCACUUCAAGGCAGUGUAUGUGAAACACGAUCAGGAGUGUGAGACUGUAAUGACACACGGAAUUCCAAAUCCUAUCAUUAUAUAAUAAUAUAAUAUAUUAAUUUCAUCAUUAUUUUAUCCAUCAUGUGUAGGUGGGACCCAGCUCUGCCCAAAACUGCAAUCCUAUCACAGUUGGCAAAACAUUUUGAAAUUCACUUUUGAGCUCUGUUGUAAUUUCAGUAAACAGUUACAACUAGAAAUACCAAAAGAAAAUAGAAUACAAGUAAAAUGGUAUUUCUGGGGGUUUUAGACAAGCUGUCAUGAUGAAGACAAGAUGGGGGUUUAGCAAAAUGGAUGCUGAUUUUGUUGUAUCGAAGAUUCAACAUUCUUUUGUUAAAGGCCGUUAAAUUUUGGAUGCAAAUUUGAAAGCCAAUGAAGCCAUAGAUUUUAGACUGAAGAGUUUGAGAGAAGGGGUGAAUCUGUAAGUUGUGUUGAGGCCUCGCGUCCCUGGUGAUCCACGUAGUUGCCAAAUGGAUGGACGCACGAUCUCAACCAAUAUAGAUUCCUGGUUCAGUCGUUCCUGCAAAAGGCGUUCGAACAGGGUGUCCGGACACACCCUCUGAUGGUUUUGUCAGCCAUGGUUAAAGAGAAUAAUCAGUUGGUCUUUUACUAGGUAUAGCAAGCUUACUUUCCUCUUUGUGUGAAGGUCCAUAUAUAUAGCGUUUAGGAGCUUUGUUUCUCUCUUUAAUGGUAGGGAGAUAUUUUGUCUUGUCAUGAUGCCUUUAGGUGGUGACAGGGCCAUCAUCACCCUACUGGCGGCUGACAGAGAUCGUGGGAGGCGCCGCAGCUGUCAGAGAUCGUAGGAAGUGACUUGCCAUCAUUCUUGUCCUUUCACUCUGUAGGUGGCAGAACGUGGGCCGUGGCAGGUUGUCGAAAUGACGUAGUAAGACUUGCUUACUUUAGUCAACGAUCCGGUCAAACCUAUCCGGAUAGGAUAUGUCGGUCGUCCGGAUGUGAUGUUUGCGAGUGUCGUGUACUUCUCCCUGAGGGAGUCCGGAUAGGGGAAGCGCGCCACGUGUCUCCUUGGAUCCAGAUGGAGCUAAUCCGGAUAGAAAUACGUGCCACGUGUCAUCAGGGGGAGGGGUCCCUACAAUGCCCCCAUUUUAACCUGCCCAUUUUGCCCGGGCAAAAUGGGCGGGUUAAAAAAUGAUUGUUUUUUGAAACUGAGGUUGACUUUUUUCGCUUUAUUGGGCCACAUGGCGAGCAGGGGCGAAAAAGGAAGAAGAGCAUUUAUGAUGAGCCGCCGAUUCUGGGAUUUCCCAACCAGCGUGUCCUUUCAAUGAUGGCUCGGCUGAGCGUUUGGGAUACCGAGGGGUUGUCUCUCUAUAAAUUGCAAACUGUGUCUUCCUCUUGCAUUUUUUCUUCUGCGUUUUUUCCUGGUAAUGCUUUCUCUUCUACCUUCUGCGUAUCUUCGUUUUCGAGUGAAGCUCUAGGGUUUUCUGCCGGCAAUACUCGUGUUGUGAUGGUGACUGCAUUGCGGAUUUCAUCCCAUUUUUCCAGUUUUACACUCGGUACGUUCGCUACUCUUGUCUUAUCUUCGUUGUGUUUGCUUUGUUGGUUGUUUCUGGCUUGCUGGGCAAGUUGCUUGCGACUGGGUGUCGAUAUUGGUUUCUAGGGUUUUUUCGGGGGAUUCUGUUGUGUUUUGGGUGCGUUUAGGGUUUCUGUUGCCCCUCUGCGCUUUUUGUGGGUUGUCGAUACUUUUUUGGGGUAGAAACAAGGUUUGGGAUGGGGAUGCUAGUGAUGUUAGGUUUUCUGAGCGUUUUUAUCGUUUAAGGCUGUGGGGUCGGAUUGUUGUGUUUGACUGUUGGUCAUUCUUCCAUGCAGGUUCCGUUCCAGUCCCAACCUCAAAAAUGUCUACGAACAAGGGCGCUGUUUCGUCUACUACGGUCGAUCAGAGCGGCAAAGAUGCGUCUGGAGACUUUCACGCGGAGAAGUCUGUGGACAAGCUGAAUGCGAAGGAGUUUCGUGAACGCUUCUGCAUCCCAAAUGGCGUGUUCGUUGAACUUAUGGACGGAGAGGCCAUGUCAACUGAGGAAACUGAGGAUAACGCUAUCUUUUUUACCAAUGAGCAAUUCAAUGCUGGGCUCCGGUUCCCUCUCCCAUCGCUUUUCAAAGAAUUUCUCCACUUCACCCAGAUCCCUCCGGCCUACAUCCAUCCCAACAUGGUCCGAGUGCUGAUGGGAUGCAGCACUCUAAGUAUGUUGUUCAACCUGGACCUCUCGCUGCUGGAGGUUCUUUUCAUCUACUCCCUCAAGAAGGGGAAAAAUGACAUCUUUAGCAUGGUUGCCCACCUGCCUUCUCUCCAACUGGUGAUUGAGCUUCCAGAUUCGACGAAGGGAGGAGCCAAGGGACAUGUGUUGGUCCGGGGUGUCUGGGCUGGGCUAUUGGAGCAUCCAGAGAGGCUGUUUUCCCUAAACCGUUCGUUGGUGCUUCCGGGUAAGGCAGCUUGCAGGGUUUGUCCGGCAUUCAUCUUGUUGUUCUUCUUGCUUUGGGGUUAUCAGAUGGCUUAAUACCUUUGGUUGCUGAUAAAGCAGGUCCGGACAAGAGGGGUCACGUAGUCGAGUGGGUAGAAAAAGCGUUUUUCGUUCGACUAAACAAGUUAUUUGAGAUUACUGCCGCUGAGAGGCAUCAUGAGACGCUGCUUACUACGCGAAACUUGCUGGCUGUUGUCAAGGAGCCCCAGACAUAUGUCACCAAUAUUCUCCCCAGGAAGUUGCCAAAGAAGGUAGUGCCUAGGGAGCAUUACGUUCUAAAAGACCUCCCUUUCUACAAGGAGGUGCGCAAGGUAGAUGCCCAGGCACGUUGAGCACGUCUCGAUGAUCGGGAGGGAAGAAGGAAAGAGGGAACUUUGCGGAGGGCCCCCGGUAAAAAACGCUCCGCGCCCUCUCUUCCUGCUGGCGCCCCAGCGAAAAAGAAGAAGAAGAUGGUUCUCAAUAAGGGGAAAUAAAUAAAACUUCCAACUCCCCCAAAGGAAAUGGUAAUACCACCUCCAACUUUUGUAAAGGAAAUAACAAUAAGAGAGCCAGACCACCCCGUCUUGCCCUCUGUUUCAAGUGGCUCCGGACGUCUCGCAGGUCUAAACCAUUCGGGGCCUUCAGUGCCAGUGGCUGGACAACUGGCUCUUCUGGCUGAGGAAGCGACUUCAGUAAAUCAGCCCGGCUCUCCCCAUCCGGACGUAGAUGCAGCCGGGGCCUCUUGCACUGAAGCAUUGCCUCCUUCGGCACCCCCAAUGAAAGAAACAGGGGUAGAAAGUCAAGGUUUGCCUCCUUAUGAGCCAAGCCCCCUUGCCUUUGUACUAGUGAAGGAGCCAGCUACAAGGAGGUCUCGUCCGGCGUGUGACUUAAAGUCUAGCCUCAUCAGGCGGCUUCAGGAUCGUUUUUUGGAAGCCAUCGAAGUCAGCUGCUCAUCCGUCCAGGAGGAUCAUUCGGAGGGGAGUGAGACGGAGAUGGCAGAAGAGAACCCAACCGCCCCGGUGUUGGUCCCGGAUGGGGGUUCACCCGGAGAGACCCAGUUGGCCGAGAAUGAUGGGGCCCCGGACCCGAGGGAGGAAUCACUUCCUAAUGCCUCGUCAGGGGGGAGUCCCGUUGAUGAUGCAGCUUGCAUCUCCCCUAGUCCUUUCAGCUAUGCGGAGUUAGGAGAGAUGUUGAAAUGGAUUCCAUCCGGCUCAGAUGUUGCUGUGCCUUCAGCAAAAAUGUUUGAAGCGGCGGAAAUGGUAUAGUUUACUUCUUGAUUUAUCUCGUUAUACUGAUGUGUUUGUCACAUGGGUUGUAAUUUUUGCAUUUCUUGUUUGUGGGUUUUUCUGCAGUUGGUGAGCGGUAUUCGCGACAUGGCUCAACAACGUGAUCUUUUUUCUGACCUGCUGCGGACUGCUGAUUAUAUGAAGGCCUUCGUCUCUCAGCGCAUAAACAGUGAAGAGGAUCUGCGCUUGAGAUUGGAGCAGGCCGAAGCCAGUUUAUCCGCUGCUCGAGAUGACAACGAGGCUCUCCGGAUAGAGUUAGCUAAGGCAAAGAGUCGGGAGGAAUCUACAGACGCCCGCCUGCAUGAGGCGGAGGACGAGAUGGCGCAGCUAAGGGAGGAAGUGAGGCAACUCCAGACAGAGGUGUCUAUUGAGAAAAAGUAGAGAGAGGAUUUGCAGUUGCGUUUAUCAGCGCAAAAAGAAGAGUUGGAGGUUGUGUUUGCUGCGGAAAGGGAGGAACUUGAAGCGGACUACCAGAAGCAGGUAGAUGAAAUGUACUUCUUCGGCUACCGUUGCUGUAUGAAGAAACAUGGUAUCAAGCGGGAUGUCCCUUCGAUUCCCUCGGGUGAAAAGGAGAAGCUACCCGACAAGCCUUCCCAAUGAGAGCUUUUCUUUUUGUAAUUUUUUUACUGCUAUCUUCUCUCUGUAUUUUGUAGUCCGGAGAACUCUUUGUAUACAACUUCACAAGUAUUAAUAAAACAUACUUAUUCAUAUUGUACUUGUAUCUUUCUUUCAUUGGUAAUACUGCUUUAAAUUGGAUACAUUCCAUGGUCUGAGUAAUGGGGUUCCGUCUAGCUUUUGUAGAUGAUAAGUUCCACUUUCACUUGUCUUAGAUACUAUAUAGGGGCCUUCCCAGUUGGCUUGAAACUUUCCUACUCCUAUCUCAGCAGUAUUUUCGAAAACCUUUCUAAGGACCAGCGUACCAUUUUUGAAAUUUCUGGGCCUUACCUUGCGAUUGUAGUGAGCGGAUGCCCUUUGUUGAUAGUCUGCCAUCCGGAUGGAUGCAGUUUCUCUUACUUCGUCUGCCCAGUCCAAGUUUCUUCCUAACUUCGCAUUUGCAUCAUCCUGUCUUCCUGCCUCGGUCCGGAUAGUGGGUAGCCCUAUUUCAGUAGGAAUGAUUGCGUCCAUACCUAUGCGAGGGCGAAGGGAGUGUUUCCUGUCGGACGUCCGGGUGUUGUUUGAUAAGCCCAUAGGACGCCGGGUAGCUCCUCCACCCAUUUUUCUUUGGCUUGCUCGAGCCUCUUCUUUAAGGCAGUGAUUAGAGUCUUGUUUGUGGCCUCUGCUUGCCCAUUACUUUGAGGAUAACGCGGUGUAGAGUAUGAAUUCCAGAUGUUUAGUUCCGAACAGAAAUUCCGGAAAGCGAUGCUAUCAAACUGUGGACCGUUGUCGGCUAUAAUGGUUUGGGGGAUUCCGAAGCGGCAGAUGAUGUUCUUCCACACGAACUUGGUGACAUCUUUGUCUUUGAUGCUAGAGUAUGCUUCAGCUUCCACCCAUUUACUGAAGUAAUUCGUGGCGACGAGCAGGAAUUUAUUUUGAGCGGGUGCGGCUGGUAGGGGUCCUACUAUGUCCAUGCCCCACUUCGCGAAGGACCAGGGGCCUGAAAUUGGCUUCAAUGUCUCCGACGGCACAUGUGGUAUGGGGGCAUGACUUUGGCAUUUGUCACAUUUUUUUACAUAGGCUGCCGCAUCCUUCUUCAUCGUGGGCCAGUAAUAUCCUUGCGAAUGGGCCCUGUGUGCCAGAGAUCGACCUCCAGAAUGAUUUCCACAUACUCCCUCGUGCAAUUCAGCUAAUACAUACAGGGCCUCUGAGUGGUUUAGGCACCGGAGAUAGGGACUUGUGAAGGAUCGCUUAUACAAGUGCCUCCCAAUCAGGGUGAAACGGGCAGCUUGCACCCAGAUCUUGUGUGCCUACUUGGGUUCUUCAAGCAGAGUGCCUGUCCGGAGGUACCUUAUAAUGUCUUUCGUCCACUCUUGGUUGUCUACUUGGUUUGCCUCAAUGGUAUUGCAAGUGGAAGCUUCCGCGACAUAAGGGUUGACUUGCACAUGUAUAGGCAACAAUAUGGCUUCUUUGAUGGGGAGGGAGGUAGCUAUGCUUGCCAAGGCGUCGGCGCGCCCAUUUUCAGUUCGUUUUAUUUUUUUGAUCGUCUAUUCGGUGAACUGCUGUAAGGUGUCUCUUACUUUAGCCAGAUAUCGCGUCAUGCGCGCGUCCUUAGCUUCGUAUUCUUUCUGAACGUGCCUUACCACGAGUUGGGAGUCACUAUAGACCCGAAGCUUGGAGACGGAUAGAGCUAGGGCGAGGUCCAAUCCGGAUAGGAUGGCCUCAUAUUCCGCUUCAUUGUUAGAGGCGGUGAACCCCAGCCGAAUGGCUUGCUCCAGAUGUUCUCCUGUUGGUGAUUGUAGUAGGAGCCCUAUUCCGGAUCCUGAUGAUCGUGAGACUCCAUCGACCCGCAAAGUCCACCACUCUUUUUCACUUGGUUCCUUGUGCUGGAUAGGCCUUCGGGAGUAUUCCAGCACGAAGUCAGCCAUAACUUGGCCUUUCAUGGAUAACCUGGGUUGGAACUCGAUUCCAUAUUCGCUUAACUCUAUAGCCCAUUGAAGCAUUCUUCCGGUUAGGUCCGGCUUGUGCAGAAUGUUGCGAAGGGGUUGGUCAGUUAGCACGACCACCGGGUGGGCUUGGAAGUAAGGGCGGAGCUUUUGGGCGGCACUUCGAAAAGUUAAAGCCGUUAGCUCCAUCUUUGAAUACCUGGUUUCUAGGUCUGCCAAUACUCUACUGACGUAGUAGAUAGGUUUCUGCUCCUUGGGCGAUGGGCAACGGAAUAGAACAGCGCUAAUUGCUCACUCUGAUACAGCCAGAUACAUAUACAGUUUUUCUUCAGGGAGGGGACUGCUCAGGAUGGGCGGUUGCAUGAGACAGUGUUUAAUUUUUUCAAGAGCGCUUUGACAGUUGUCCUUCCAUCCGUUUGCUCCAGCUUUUCGUAUUGCCAAGAAGAAGGGUCGCAGUUCGUCAGUGAAGCAGGCUAUAAAACGUCCUAGCACGACGAGUUUGCCUGUGAGGCGCUGUAAUUCCUUUUUGCCCCUGGGGGGUGGUGUUUCCAUGACUACCUUGACUUGAUCCGAGCUAACCUCUAUCCCCCUUUGGCUGACCAUAAAUCCUAGGAAUUUGCCAGCACUUACGCCAAAGGCGCAUUUGGAAGGAUUCAGCUUCAUACCAUACUUCCUUAAGAGUUGGAAGAUUUCUUGCAAGUGGAGGACAUGUUCCUCUCGGGUUUUGCUUUUAACCACGAUGUCGUCAAUAUAUACCUCUACUGUGCGGCCGACCAGAGGUUUGAAGAUUUUCGUCAUCAGUCUCUGAUAAGUGGCGCCAGCUUUUUUGAGUCCGAAUGGCAUGACUUUGUAGCAAUAAAAAUCGUGUGGCGUUAUGAAGGCUGUUUUUUCUUCGUCAGCCGGGGACAUGGGGAUUUGGUGGUAUCCGGAGAAGGCGUCCAAGAAUAAGAGCAUCCCUUGCCCAACAGUGGAAUCCACAAUUUGAUCUAUCCGUGGCAAAGGAAAACUGUCUUUUGCGCAUGCAUUAUUGAGGUUGGUGUAAUCGACGCACACCCGCCAUUUGCCUUCUUUUUUUGGUACCACCACUACAUUUUCCUACCAGUCCGGGUAAUCCACUUCUCUGAUGAAUCCGGCUUCUAGCAAUUUGUCAAUCUCAUUUCGAAUAAUUUUUUGUCUGUCCUGGUGAAAACGUCUAACCCUCUGCCGGAUGGGUCUUGCUGUUGGCAAGACGUUAAGCCUAUGAGAGGUAAUGGAGGGAUGAAUUCCCUUCAUAUCAGAAUGUGCCCAUGUGAAGACGUCAUGAUUUUGUCUGAGGGCGUUCUGCAUGUUCCGGGUCUCUUCUAGUGUCAGGAGGGAACUGAUAUUCGUAAGGUGAGUACCUUCUUCCGAAAUUUGGAUCGCUUGCAAAGGAUCCGCUGCCGGGAGAUCUUUGUCCGCCGGACUCAAUAAUUGUUAUUGGUCACGUGCAUGGCUGGACUCAGGGAGGGAUGCAUCCUUCUGGCUGGUCCCUACUUCACGUGCUAUCUGGUAGCAUUGGCGAGCGGCUAACUGGCUGCCGUAUAGGUCAAUUUGCCCAUCCUUGGUAAGAAAGCUUACCAUUUGAUGAUACGUAGAGGGGAUGACUUUCAUGUAGUGCAGCCAUGUGCGCCCCAAGAUGACAUUGAAGGGUGAUAAAUCUUGUACCACCGAAAAUUGUACGUUGAGAGUGACUGGGCCAGCUUGGACCGGCAGUACAAUGUCUCCCAAGGAAGUAGUUGACGACCCGUUGAAUCCGGACAAGAUUCGCCCAGGGUUUUCGAGGCCUGUGAGACUGUGUCCCAUGUGGCUAAUGACCGAUGCUUGUACAAGAUCAGCCGAGCUACCCGGGUCAACCAGGAUGCGCCUCACGUCAAAGUCUCCUAUCUCUAGGGACAGGAUGAGGGCGUUGUGGUGCGAAUGCAAUAUCCGGGUGGGGUCUACUGGUGGAAAAAUGAUUGUCCCAUCUAUGGGGCGAGGGCCCCCCUCAAUUACUCCAGGCCGGAUGGAGUUGACACGUUCACGCACCGAUGCUGCCCGCAACAACUUUUGUCUCUUUCGUUUGGAGUCGUACUCCUCGUCAGAUGGACCUCCAUUAUUAUAGUUUAUAACCGCUUUGGGGGCGGCUGGGGCCCUGGGGGCUCCAAAGUUGUGAUUUCGGGAAGCGUCUCUACCUUCGGCAUCUGAGCGGAGGUAUUGCUUUAAAUGUCCUGCCCUUAUGAGCCUUUCAUGGAAGGCACAUUUUUUACUAUGAUCUCUUUUGGAUGGAUUCGUUCCGAGGGGUCUAGGCCACCUGAAGUCGGACAUGUCUUAGAUCAUAGGGAGAAGCUUCUCAUAUGAUAUGGAAAGGGGUGUGAGGGGCGGCAUUUUCGGGUGACUUGGCCCUUUCUGCCUUCGAUCGGACGGCCUUGGCCUGUCCGGAAGUUUGGUACUUCUUUCCGCACCCCUUCUGGAUGUCUGUCCGGCAACCAAGACUUGCUGGGUGGCUACACGCACGUCAUCUUCGAGCAUUGAGUAUUUGCUCGCACGCCGGAACAAGUCGUCCAUCGUCGUAGGAGGCUUUUUAGCGAGUGAUUCAAAAAAUGGGGUGCCUGAACAGAUGCUUCGUUUGAAGAUUUGUAGGACAGCAUCCAUGCUGUAAGCCUCUACCUAUAGUACGACCUGACCAAACCGCUUCACGAACUCCCUUAAGGAUUCGUUAUCCUGCAUUUUUAUGUUUUGCAGAGUGCUGAUGUUCUGCUUAUGUCGAGCGAAGCAUAAGUAUUGCCCCACGAAGGCUUCCGAUAGGUCUCUGAAAUUAUCAACAGAGUUAGGAGGUAGGCAGUGAAACCAUGAGAGGGCCUGCCCUUGUAGGCUGGCGGGGAAUACUUUGCAUAGCAGUGCGUCGUUGCCUAUAUCGAGAGUCAUGAGCUGUCGAUAAUGCAUGAUAUGGUCGAAGGGGUCACUGGACCCAUCGUAUGUGGAGAAUUUGGGCACAAGGAAUCCCCUUGGGGGCUCGUAAUGAAUGAUAUGAGAGCAGAAAGGCAUGGAGAGCAUGUCGUCCAGCCUUUUGGUGAUGGAGCCAAUGGGUGGCUCAUUUGGGAGGUUUCUCCCAGCUUGUUGUACCGCUAGGUGCGGUUGAACGUUCUGCACCAUAGGGGUGACCAUGGGGUCACGGUGUGGACGAACAUUCUGCACCAUAGGGGUGACCAUAGGGUCAGGGUGCGCUCCCCAAGUUGUGGCUACUGGCGGCCUUGGCCUCCUAGGCUCCUGUGGGCCUAGCCUCGCGCGCAUCGAGUUUGACAACUGGGGCCUUUUAUCGCGUUGUCUUUUUGCUGAAAAAUGAGCAGAGUCUGAGCUUUCCUCAUGUGGAGCUCGGUGCAUGGGAGUGUGUGGCUCAUGCGGCCUAACGUUGCAUGUUUCUGGGAUGGCUCCUGCUGUCCCAAGGUAUAUUGACUCUGGUUCUGGCCUUGAGUUUGCUACCUGGCCUCUUGAACGUUGACGACGGGGAGGCCCCAUCAAUGAAGCCUGGAUGCAUAGCACCACGUUUUCUUCUCUUAACCUUUCUGUCUCCUAGAGGAGAGUUUGCAGUUGUCGUUAGCUUGUCAAUUGUCUUCUUUUGAUGGCUUGGCGCCAUUCAGAAUUAUCUUCCUCUCCCCUACCAAAUGAACGGCUUCGGGAAGGUGUGGCCAUCUUUGCCGGUGACUGAAUCAGCGAGAUUCCCACAAACGGCACCAAUGUUGAGGCCUCGCGUCCCUGGUGAUCCAUGUAGUUGCCAAAUGGAUGGACGCACGAUCUCAACCAAUAUAGAUUCCUGGUUCAGUCGUUCCUACAAAAGGCGUCCGGACAGGGUGUCCGGACAUACCCUCCGAUGGUUUUGUCAGCCAUGGUUAGAGAGAAUAAUCAGUUGGUCUUUUACUAGGUAUAGCAAGCUUACCUUCCUCUUUGUGUGAAGGUCCAUAUAUAUAGCGUUUAGGAGCUUUGUUUCUCUCUUUAAUGGUAGGGAGAUAUUUUGGCUUGUCAUAAUGCCUCUAGGUGGUGACAGGGCCAUCAUCACCCUACAGGCGGCUGACAGAGAUCGUGGGAGGCGCCGCAGCUGUCAGAGAUCGUAGGAAGUGACUUGUCAUCAUUCCUGUCCUUUCACUCUGCAGGUGGUGAAACAUGGGCCGUGGUAGGCUGUCGAAAUGACAUAGUAAGACUUGCUUACUUUAGUCAACGAUCCGGUCAAACAUAUCCGGAUAGGAUAUGUGGGUCGUCCGGAUGUGAUGUUUGUGAGUGUCGUGUGCUUCUCCCUAAGGGAGUCCGGAUAGGGAAAGCGCGCCAUGUGUCUCCUUGGGGGAAAUCCAGAUGGAGCUAAUCCGGAUAGAAAUGCGUGCCACGUGUCAUCAGGGGGAGGGGUCCCUACAAGUUGGAUAUUCAGAAGUCCAACAAUCAUAGGAUUUGACAACGAGUGAAUAUGUUGGAUACAAUUCCUCAUGUCUAUUGUAACAAUUUCUUUGUUUGUGAAUGGCUCUUUUUUGUUUCUUUCAAAGUCCAAGCGGGUUGAGACAAUGCACCCUCUUAUCUCCUUUGUUUGUUCUAGUUAUGAAGACUUUUAACUGUUUUGUUACCAAGGUGACAAGAGGGGCUUCUUUUAUGACUUUAAAGUAAGGGAAGAUGAAGAAAAGGGUCGGAAGUCUCCCAUUUACUCUUUGCAUUAUGAUAAAUUGCUUUUUUGUGAUUGAUCACGGGCUCAGUUUUGAUGUGAAGUCAUCUCAAAAUUGAGAAUAAGCUCGAAGAAAAGUGAAAAGUCCCCAAUAUUGAAGAAUUAACCUCUUUGUUGGGUUCCAAGGUGGUCAAGUUACCCUUCUCUUUUUUUUUUUUUUUUUUUUUUUUUUUGAGAUAAUCGAAGAACCUUCUAAACCCUUAGGACUCUCCAUAAAGACCCAAACCUUGGGCCUUCCCUAACAAUCGACACUGGGUGAAUCAAAGUAUCAUCAAUAGCAAGAUUUAAAAUCAAGAUCAUGUGCCUCUUAUUAGAACCACAUGCAUCUCCCAUCAUUCGCCCUAACCAACUGGGCUACCCGACAGGCAUACCUUCCUUCUUAGUCUUCCUAGGUUUUCCCUUCAAAGUCUUCUACUAUGUCAAAUGUUCUGAAGGAGAGGCUACUUAAAAGGUUAGCCUCAUGGAAGUGUUAGUAUUUGUCUACAAGUGAAGAUUAACCCUUUUGAAAAGCAUUUUAUCCAAUGUGUCCAUUUACUAUUUGUUAUCCCAAAAAGAGUUCAUAUGAGGUUAAAAAUGAUUAAGAAAGAGUGUUGGUGGCCAGUAAGUUUUUUAAAGAAGAAACCUCAUUUAGUCAACUCAUAUACAAUGUAUUUAGAUGAUAAAAUAAAAAUUAAAUUAAAUUAAAAAUGGAGGCAUUGAAAUAAUCAUUUUGUUCACAAAUAUAUAAUUUAUAUUAUUAAAAUUCACAAUAAUUAUAAAAAGGAAAAUAAUUAAAAAUAACCAAAAAUAUCUUUUUUUGAGUGAAGACACUUUUAACUUUUCUAACUAUUUUCUAACUUUCAUAUGUCAAUAAUAAAUAAUAAAUAAAUAAUUAUUUUUUACUUUUUAAUUAAAAGAAUUUUAGAAUAUCAAUUUUCAGACCUAGGGCAUGUGCAAAACUAUAUUGUUUAUGGUCAAAAUGACAAUUGAUGAGGAUGGUACAACCCAUCCACUCCAAUUUUUAAAACCAUGUUUUUAAGCAAGGCUCCAUUAGGUAAGUAGAGUUGCAGAUUUGCCAUAUAUAGGGAUAAUAUAGAACAAUUUUUGCUCACAAAAGUAGACAUCCUACAUUAGUAAGACCUUUGUAUGCCAGUACCUAGCAUUUAUAAUGCAUAACAAGAACUACAAAACACUUCUUCCUGAGGUUGUUCAAAUUUACACUUCCAUUAAAUGGACUCCUCAAAAUGGGCUACAUCAGACGGGACAUCUAAUGAAUAAUGUAUGGGGGAAUAAGGUAUGACUAAGGUUUUACAUUUAGUACCAAAUCAACAUAUGUUUAUAUAGGGAUGAUUUUGAUGCAAAUCAAAUUAAGCUUUUACAUUUAGUACCAUCAUCCAAGAUUAAUUCACCAUGGCUCUAAAUGGUCAUGCAUGUUUUGUUUCCCCAUAUUUUUAUUAUCGCCCAUGGAAGAAACUACAUGGGUCAUUUAGAGGGGCCCAUCACAAUAACAUAUAGCCCAAUAAAAUUAAUGAAGUCUUAGAAACUGAUUCUAUAAUCCAUGCAUGCAACAAGCUGAGAAAAUAAUCUUUCAAGUUAAGAUUGGAUAGUUGAGCCCCCUUAGAAACUGUACCACACUUCAAAUCUCAUUUUCCCUUAUUUACGUAUUGGCAUACACUGCCCUUUAUCUGCUCACAAAGAAUUAGAGCUUACCAAGAAAAAGUUCUCGUUCAACUCAAACAAUGUAGAGGGUUGUAAAAUAGUUCAAGGAGAGGAAGAGUGGCUGAGUAAGUUAGAACAGAAGGACAAAGCUACUCUAAAUGCCUUUUUGCCCCGUUUCAAAGCAACAUAAGAAUAAGGGGCUUUCAAAGCAACAUAAGAAUAAGGAGCUUAAGAAUGAUUUCCAGUCUUCUAUUUUCAUGUCUAUUUGAUAGUUGGAAUGUGUAUUGUUCAUUUGUGGGUUGAUUCUCUCUCCACCAUUGAAAUUCCCAUGCAGGGACAAAACAAAGGAAAUGUAUGAUGUUAUGAGAUGUUUAUGAAAAGUGUCUUGUAAUUGCAUUAUGUGUAAUAAAGUACUAAGUCUAUAUAGGGUUGUUUAAAAUUGUUGUGAUCUAAGUAUCAUUUUGAUAUGAUUUUAAUUUUUAAAAGUAGAAAAUGAUAUUAAUUCCUAUAUUGAUUUUAAAAUGUUAAAUAUUUGAAAACUUUUACAUGGUAAUUCUAAAUAUUGGUAAAAUCAUACUAUUAAUAUUUUGUACAUUUUUAAUAUUUUCAUCCUUAAUUGAAAAUAUUUUCCAAAGCAACAUAAGAAUAAGGAGCUAAGGAAUGAUUUCCAGCCUUCCAUUUUCAUGCCUAUUUGAUGCUUGGAAUGUGUAUUCUUCAUUUUUGGUUAAUUGCUUUUACGUUUACAGGAAGAAGGGCCCAAACUCCCUUUGUUGCUCCUCUAUCCAUCCUUGUAAUCCCCACGCAUGGACAAAACGAAGGAGAUGCAUGGCUUUAUAUGCAUGACAAGUGUCUUGUAAUUGUGCAUGUGGAAUAGAGUUUGAGUCAAUUGGUCGUUAUUUCAAACUAUUAUGUUGUAAGAAUAAGUUGGAUAUGAUUUUUAGUUUAAAAAAUAGAAAAUAAUGUUUCAAUUUGAAAUGUCUUUAAUGAAAGUGUUUUUAAAAGAAUUACCUAUAAAUGUUUCUGCAAAAAACACUACAACCAAUUUUUUAAUACUAUAAAGUAAUUUCUUUUAAAAUUUAAAAGUAUUUCUUAAAUUUUAUUAAACACCUAAUAUUUUUUUUAAAAACACUUUUUUAGGUUGACAAUGUUUUUCAAAAAGCACUGUCAAAUAGACUCAAACUCUUAUAUUGAUUUUAAAAAUUAUUUCAAAAUUUUAAAAAUUCAAAGGUAAAUUUAAAAAACAUAAUGUAAGUAUGAGUUACUAUAUUUUAUAUGAAAGUGGCUAUUAAUUUCUAUCUCUAAAAAUAAAAAUAAGAAAUGAAUUCAAAUUAUUAGUACUUAAUAAUUAACUAAUUAAUUAGUGUUUGAAUACAAAUAUAUAUACAAUAAAUUAAUAAGUUUCUUAUAUGUUUGGAAAAAAGCAUCUAUAUAGAGUGUUAUUUAUUACAAAUGUAUGAUAAAUUAAUAAGAUUCUCACUUAAGUUGCAUUUUAUUUGAAUUUCAGAGAAAUAAUAGUUGUAAAAUUAGAAGGAAAUAGGGUUGAUAUUGUCAAAUGAUGAUGAAACAUAAUUCAGAAAUUAAAACAGGAAGAAAAAAAAUUAAAUAAUUGUAUAUUCUAUAUUAUAGUGGAGGCAUCAAAUAUUUGUCUAUUAUCAUUAUUAUUAUUCUUUUUAUCAUUUCCACCUAAUUUAUUCAUCGAAUACACAAGAGUUGAGUCACAUAAUCCAUAUUGACCAAAUAAAUAAUAGGACAAAGUCCAACUCUCUCCUCUUAACAUGAUAUAUAUACCUUUUUUUAAUUAAAUGAUAAAGCUAUAUAUAAUUCUAAAAAGAUUCUUUGCAACAAUAUCUUGUAUUUUUGCAUGUGGUCAAAUAAUCAUCCUCAUUAUUAUUAUUAUUUUAAUACCACAACUACUCUACCUAAUAACAAAUGGUUGCCAAUUUUCCUGAUAAAUUAAGUUUUGAAAAGAAUCAUUUCAACUACGUACUCUACCAAAUCAUCAACAAUAAGAAAUGGUUGCAAGUUAUUUUCCCAAUAAAUUAAGUCUUGAAUUCUCCCAACAAAUGAAGUUUUGAAAAGAAUCCUUUAGUUGUAUGGUACUUUACUAUCUUUAUAUGUAAGUAUAUUUGUUCUCAUAUGUAUAAGGAUUUUUUUAUUUAUUUAAAAGAAUCACUUCAAUAUGUGUAUUAUUAAUUAGUUUAUUAUUUUUUAGAAUUUUGUCUAACAUUUUUGUAAUUUUUUAAUCAACUUUUAUCCCAUAAUUUUUUUUUCAAAUUUUUGUAUAAUAUUUGUAAUAAUUUUAUAAAAUUUGAAUAUUGAUAUUUUGUAAAUUUUUUACAUGUUCAUCCAAAAUAUUUUAAAAUUAUAUGUCUUUAAAAUAUAUUAAAAGUUAAAGCAUGCAACCGAAGGUAAGAAAUAUUUGAAAAUUAAGGUCAAUUAUGGUGCCUAUAAUAUUUUAGUCACAAAUCCUUCUAUAAAAAACUUCCGUAGAUCAUAUUAAAAAUAAAAUAGAAAGGAAGUGUUAGGAAGAUGCGAAGAUGUAUGAUAAAUGAAUAAGACUAAGUAGUAUUUUAACUGAACAACUAAGACAACGACGAUAAAAAUAAGAAGGAAAAACAAACUUGUACUACGUCUUGGUAACACCGGAGAAACAUGAUUUAAAAAAUAAAAUUAAAAAAAUUUGAUAACUUACCAUCAACUUUGAUCAUUCCCAUGCUAUUUAUCAUAAUUUAUUUAUUAAAUAUACAAGAGCGGAGUAAUCGAAACCAUAUUGUCUAAAUUAUUGAAUUAAGUGAAGUCUCUCUUAUCUUCUAUCAUCGUCUACUUACAUAAAGCUUAUAACAGUAAAAAAUGAAUUUGAUGGCAUCUUUUCUUCUUUUAUAUGGCCAACUUCUCUAACUAUUAUUUUAAUUCCACAACUUCUCUAACUUAUCAUAAAUGACAAUUAUCGUUUCUAUCAAUGUUUGUUAUUUCCACUUAGUUUAUUCAUUGAUUCAUUGAAUAUACAAGGGCUGAGUCACACAAUCCAUUCAGGUCAAAUAAUUGAAUGAAGUCACUCUCCCUUAUGCCUUUUCAUGAUAUACUUAUUUAUUAGAUGAAACAAUUGUAAUAAUAAAAUAAGAAUUUUGUAAUAACAUCUUGUCUUCUUUCAUAUGGCCAAAUAGUCCUUGUUAAUAUUAUUUUAAUCUCACAAUUUCUCUAACUAAACAUAAAUAAAUAAGAAUUGAUUGCAAGCUAUUUUGUAAAUAAAUUAGAGUUGGAAAUGAAUUAAUCAUUUAGUUAAUGUAUGGUAGUUGCAUAACUAAUCUUAUUAGUUACAACAAUGCAUGGAGAGCAACAAUAAUGUAAUAUAAAAUAAAUAAAUGCAAUUAACAUUAUUUUCUUGAAACCCAAAUAGUUUAACUCUUUUAUGAUUUUUUUUUUACCUCAAGCUAAUUAUUCUAGAAUAUGUAGUGCACUAAGUUGAAAUCAGUAACUCCGACUUCAAGUCAUAUUAAAAAAAAAAAAUUAGGAAUUUGAAAACUAUUAAGAAUGGAUGUAUUAGUAAUUAGCUUUUAUAUCCAAACCUUAUGAUAUGUCUAAGAAAAAUUGAUAUCUAAAUUGAAGACUUCAUAUCAUAAAUUCCUUUUUAAGCUAAACAAUUUAAUGGUAUAUUUGCAAUUUUUAGAAAAUCCAAAUCAAGAUGUUAGGAUCAAAUGUGAAUUAUCAUUAAAUUAGUUGGUAAUUGAUACCAUAAAAAUGAAAUAAAAACUGUUAAUUAAUCAAGUUAUUUAAUUAAGUUGCCAAUUUUAUUCAAAACAUUAUUGAAUUCACUUCACAUGCUUUCUUGGUUUUAUAUAUAUAUAUAUAUAUAUAUAUAUAUAUAUAUAUAUAUAUAUAUAUAUAUAUAUAUAUAUUUUAGAAGUCGCCUUGAAAAUAGAUGAUUUCUCCAUAUAUAUGUAUUUUUUAAUCAAUGAAGAAAUUGUUUCUCUAAUUAAUUUUUCUUAAGAAAUCAUAUCUUAAAGAGAUGAUUUUUUUCUCUAAUUUUUUUGAAAAGAGAUUUUAUAAAUCACCUUUUGAAAAGAUAAUUUUUUUUAUUAUUAUCUUUUUAAAAUGAAAUAAAUCAUCUUUUUAAAGAGACGGUCUAAAAAAGAAAUAAUUUUUUUUUAUUUAACAAAAAUUACAAUAAAUUUAAAAUUAUUUUUAUCACUAUAAUAUUUUAGGAAUGGUCUUUUUAAACUAUUGUACUAAAAAAUCUUUGCUUACCCGGGGGUAGUGGGCAAUAAAGAAAUGAAAAGAAGUUGGCAGGGGGGCGUCANNNNNNNNNNNNNNNNNNNNNNNNNNNNNNNNNNNNNNNNNNNNNNNNNNNNNNNNNNNNNNNNNNNNNNNNNNNNNNNNNNNNNNNNNNNNNNNNNNNNGAAUGGAUGUAUUAGUAAUUAGCUUUUAUAUCCACACCCUUAUGAUAUGUCUAAGAAAAAUUGAUAUCUAUAUUGAAGACUUCAUAUUCCAUAAAUCCCUUUUUAAGCUAAACCAAUUUAAAUGGGUAUAUUUGCCAAUUUUAGAAAAAUCCCAAAAUCCAGGAUGGUUAGGGAUCAAAUGGUGAAUUAUCAUUAAAUUAGUGGGGUAAUUGAUACCAUAAAAAAUGAAAUAAAAACUGUUAAUUUAAUCAAGUUAUUUAAAUUAAGUUGCCCAAUUUUAUUCAAAAACAUUAUUGAAUUCACUUCACAUGCUUUCUUGGUUUUAUAUAUAUAUAUAUAUAUAUAUAUAUAUAUAUAUAUAUAUAUAUAUAUAUAUAUAUAUAUAUUUUAGAAGUCGCCUUGAAAAUAGAUGAUUUCUCCAUAUAUAUGUAUUUUUUAAUCAAUGAAGAAAUUGUUUCUCUAAUUAAUUUUUCUUAAGAAAUCAUAUCUUAAAGAGAUGAUUUUUUUCUCUAAUUUUUUUGAAAAGAGAUUUUAUAAAUCACCUUUUGAAAAGAUAAUUUUUUUUAUUAUUAUCUUUUUAAAAUGAAAUAAAUCAUCUUUUUAAAGAGACGGUCUAAAAAAGAAAUAAUUUUUUUUUAUUUAACAAAAAUUACAAUAAAUUUAAAAUUAUUUUUAUCACUAUAAUAUUUUAGGAAUGGUCUUUUUAAACUAUUGUACUAAAAAAUCUUUGCUUACCCGGGGGUAGUGGGCAAUAAAGAAGUGAAUAGAGGUGGCAGUGGGGCGUCAUCCAGCUGGACCCUCAAAUGCAAAAUAAAGAAGUGAAUAGACGUGGUGGGUUGGCUGUCAUCCAGCUGGACUCUCAAAUGCAAAAAUGGAGAUUCAUUUAUCCCAACAUGAAGCACCGUCUUCAACGAGAUGUUGAAGCCAAUACCUAUAUCUUCUUCUAAACCAACUCCUCUCUUCUGCUUGAUUCAUCAUCCCAAAGCUCUCCACACUCAUCAUUUCCCUCAAAACUACCUAGUUCUUAAUCCUCGUUGACAAAACCAUGGGCAACAUUUGCUCGAUUUCACUCCCUGCUGACCGCAUUGUCUCUAGCUUCUGGGAUGGCACUACUGAGCAUGCAAAUUACCUGCGCAAACUCCCUGAAAAUCUGGUAGAAUUGGGAACCGCUUGUGAAAGAUUGAGGGAGUUAAGGAACGAUGUGAAGAGGAUGGUGGAUAUUGCUGAGAGGGAACAAAUGCAGCCGCUGGACCAAGUACAAGGGUGGCUUUC